This 54474-nucleotide long non-coding RNA is filed under the name Fragaria vesca (wild strawberry). RNAcentral describes it as "long non-coding RNA (FVES_LNC000303)". The record is from RNAcentral. Lineage: Eukaryota; Viridiplantae; Streptophyta; Magnoliopsida; Rosales; Rosaceae.
CCAAACACAACAUUACCUCCGAAAUCGAGCUGAUUAAAAUGGAUUACAUUAACACAGCUAUGGAGCGGCUUGCCAAAGCAGAUGUCAGGUAUCGGUUUGUGAUAGAUGUUGGGAACUCCUUGUCUCAGUAGAGACUUGGCUUCAUGCCUCAACUGCUACCAUGUUUGGUUUGAGACUCAAUACUGCAUUGAAUAAGUAGCACGUUUUAAUUAAGGUAUGUGAUAUGGAAGUUUCUGGGGGAUGUAGACUGCUAGCAUAAGAUGUAUUGCUGUCCUGGAAACUUAUGGUUUGUACCUAUCUAGUUGUAUCAAUCCCCCACUUUUCGGGUUGACUUUAUGAUAAAUAAUAAUAUCUGAUCAAGUUUCAUUUACUCUUUUUCUUCAAUUCAAGUUCUUGUCUGUACUGUUUUGGCUUUUGUUUCCUAAUAAUGUAAUAGCCCGGAAAUUUUAUAUUAAUUUCUAAUAUUAUUUGAGAAUUUUUGAGUUAGAAGUUAGUGUGUUUUUGAGGUUCGAAAGAAGAGCGGAAGUGUUCGGACACAUAAAUUUACCCAAAACGGUUCUUUUCUCUUCAAGGGUCAUAGAGUUGACUUUUUAUCUGUUGGGUUUCUAGAGAAACAUCCUUCACGAAAGUUGUAGAGCACGAUGAUACAAGUUCGUAGACACUUGGCACGCGUAAAACGGACUUCGUAUGAGAAAGUUAUGGUCAGCGAAAGUUUGUGGCUUUACGGGAAUGUGAUUUAAAUAGGAAAGUUUUAGGGUUCACUUCUCAUUUUCGCACAAACUCUUUUCUCUCCUUUUUUCUUCGCACGCCUCUCCUUCAGAACCAAAGUCAUCUGUCUGACCCGACCCGAACCCGGCAGACCCGACCUGGCUUUUUCGGCCACCUCCGACCGAUCUAGACGCCGGCACCGGUCAAGUUCUCUUCCUCUCCUCGGCGCAAUCUUCCCUGUGUUGGUGGGUGAGGACGACUUGAGCUGAGCUGUGCACACCGAGCACCAUAGUGAGGGCGGCGACCCGGUUUGCAACCCGAUUGGAUUCUCACCUCCGGUGGCGGCGACGAGGCUUGAAACCGGUCGGGAUAGGAAGUGUUGGGCGUCCUUGUUCAAUCCUUGGGGUUUUGUAGCUCGCCUCGUUGUGUAGAGCUGUGAUGGACUUCUCCUUGUGGCGACACUACUUUGGCUGGAAAUGCCAUUUCUGGUGGCAACGAGACCUACUUCGUUGUGGUUGUCUCCUCGCGAACCUCAAUAGCUGAGUGGGUGGCGCCAAGCUUGAGCUAACACGACGGAACUAGCAAGGCUGCUUUGGUCGGAAUCUUGAGUUCGACGGCGACGAGGAGCAGCGUUAGGUAAGUGUCGUUGUCCUCCUUUUUGAGUGUGUUUGUGCUAGCUAACACGACGGAACUAGCUAGGCUACUUUGGCCAGAAUCUUGAGUUCGACGGCGACGAGGAGCAGCGUUAGGUAAGUGUCGUUGUCCUCCUUUUUUGAGUGUGUUUGUGCUAGUUAGACAACUUGUAGUUGAGUUUUCAAACCUUGAAUUACAGUUUAAGGAAGCGAGUUUACGGCGAUGUUUCGGACCCAAUUCCGACCAAAUUGAUCUUGACCCUAGGUAUAAGAAUUGCUCUCCUUGUUCUGAGCUACACAUUUGAUGUUGGGAGUUUGUCCAAAUUUUGAAGUUUUGUGGCAGCGCGUGGCGGCGUGUCCGGUAGUGUCUGUGGUGUUUGUGGUGAUGGUUAGGUAGUACUCAUCGAUACGUUUGUGUUGAUAUGUGAUUUGUAGAUUUUUGGUUACCAAUAUUGCAUGCUAGGACUUUUUGGUUAAUCUUAGACUUGUGCAAGGUUUUGAGUUUCUGUUUUGGGAAUUAGAAGCAGCAGGUUUUGGGUCGUUUAAUUCGAUGACCUUGGAAGGUUGUCCUCUUUUGGGCUAAGGUUAGUUUAAGGGUGUUUGAUAUCCUAUAGUACUUUAGUUACUAAGGUUAUUAAUUGUGUAAUUAUAGGUGACUUGUGAAGUGUGUUUUGGCUUGGCUCUUGUGUUGUGUUGACACAACAGGAAUAUUUAGGUGAGUAACAUCUCACAAAGGUCCACUUUGGGACCAAUUAUUUAUGGUUAUUGUGAUGAUGAUUAUGAUGAUGAUUGUGAUGAUGAUUAUAAUUUAAAAAUUAUGUUUUUAUUUGUUUUAAAAUAUAUGAGCUUGAUCGUCAAUGACUCAUAGGUAAGAUAAAACAAGUUUUUCUAUUAUAUGAUUAUUUUUUAAGGUUCAUGUGAUCAUAAUAUUGUUGGUUUUUGAUAGAUUAUUCUUGUAGAAAUAUCUAUGUUUGUUCAUAUAAAUAUAUCUAUGUGGAAGGAUAUAAUUUUUAUGAUGUGCUCUUUGUGUUGUUGAUGAUGUUGAAUUAAAGAAUAUGCUAUAGUUUGUUUUUAAAUAUAUGAGUUUGAUCGCCAACGGCUCAUAGGUAAGAUAAAACAAAUUUUCCCUAUUAUAUUGUGAUUUAUUGUGUAGAUAGUCAAACUGGGUUCUAAGCCUUUAAUCGGGUGAUUGGUUACGGUUAUGAUGAUUCUACUCUAUUGUGAAUUGUUGUGUAGAUAGUCAAACUAGAUUCCAAGCCUUUAAUCGGGUGAUUGGUUAUGGUUAUGAUGAUUCUACUCUAUUGUGAUUUGUUGUUUAAAUAGUCAAACCGGGUUCCAAGCCUUUAAUCCGGUGAUUGGUUACGGUUAUGAUGCUAUUAUUAUUUUGUGAUUUAGUAUUGGAUAGUCAAACUGGGUUCCAAGCCUUUGGCUGGAUGAUUGGUUAUAGUUACGAAUAGAGCUCUAGUCCGUCUGUCGGUGUAGGUCAUGGGAGGUACCUGAAGGUAUCUAGGACCCAUGAGUACAUAAAUUGUUGUUGUAGGUCAUGAGAGGUAUUUAUUAAUAUCUGGGACUCAUGGGUACAUGUAUAUUUGUUGUAGGUCAUGGGAGAUACCUUAUUGGUCUCUAGGACUCAUGAGUACAUGUAUAUCUGUAAAAGUAUUAGUUAUGUGGUUUUAACAUUGUUCUUAUUUGUUGUCAUUUAAUUUCCUUGUUUUGAGAAUCUCCUGAACUAUGCUUAAUGCAAGAGAUUCUUUAAUCUUAUUGUAUGAUUUUUAGUGGAAUUCAUGAACUAUCCUUUUUGCAUGAUUCACUUAUGAUUUUGAUUUGUUUUGUGAAUUGUUGUGUUUUAUUAUUUAUUCUCUUUUGAAUUUUAUUGUUUUGAGGCAAUUCCUGAACUAAGUUCUAAAGCAGGAAUUCCCGGUUUUAUCUAUGUGAUGUUGGGUUGAGUUAUUUUUGGGAGUUACUCAUAUGGGCUUUUUAGCUCACCGAGUUUGUUGUUUACAACUCGGUGCACCAAUUCAUGGUAUAUGGGUUAGACCUGCUGGUGAUAAUCAGUAGGGUUGAGACGGAGGCAUAGUGACAGGGUUUUUAGUUGUUGUACUCUUGAUAUUAUUAUUUUUGGUAGACAGCAUUAAACUCAUUUGAGUGUUUUCAUUUCUUAACUUUCAAGUUUAUGUAAACAAGAAAAUGUAAUAUUUAACUUGAUGUUGAGUUGUAUUUUUUUUUGGACGAAAUGCAGGUAUAUUAAUCAACACUACCAGAAGAAAGACUUUAGCCGACGAAAAUAAAAAAACCAGGCCGACGAAUUAUUUUUUCGUCGACAAAAUUUCCCUUCGUCGGCUAAUUUAAAAUUUUCGUCGGCUAUGGUCAACUUUAGCCGACUAAAUUAAAAUUUCGUCGUCUGAAUAAUUUUUUUCGUCGGCUAUAGUCUGUGAACUUUAGCCAACGAAAUUUUUAAAAGUUUAGUCGACGAAAAAUAUAAUUUCGUCAGCUAAAGUGCCUUAAUUUCCUCGGCUAAAGUGUCUUAUAUUUGUAGAUCUAGACAACAACUCAUCUGGGAAAAAAAAACUAUACGUAGAACCUUCAAACGCAAAAAAGUCGUGAAAUAAGAUAUUACCAGAAUGGUGAAAUACGUCUACGGUUGAAAAAUCACGGUAUUCCGGUAAAGUCUCGGUGCCGAUAGUUGCGGUCAAUGCAAUUUACCCUUAUUAUUCACUAUGUUGCAGAUUUGGCGUUUCGUGUACGAUUGACUGUUGUGAUACCUUUCCGGAAGCGUAACUGCCCUACGAGUCCGUUUAGGGCUUCAAAAUGCAGUUUUCUUAUUUCCGAUUAGAGUUGACCGCUUCGAUCGAGCCCUUAACGUUGUCGAAUCCAGUUGAAUUUUUUACCAUAGACAUCUUUCGUCAUAAUGAUCAUAUCUGACGGUCGAAUUUUGGUUUGUGAAUUUUAGUCAACGGAAUCACGUGUACUAUUUACCGUUAUUAUUCCCUAUGGGGAGCCCUAUCGUCGGAAGGUAAAUGUCUCAAAAUUUUUAUAUGGGCAGUUGUGUCUCAUCUACGUGAGAGUUUUUCGUGUGGAAGGUUUGACCAAACUACGUAAUAUAGAGGGAGAUAUGAGCAUUUUCGUGUGAUAAGUGACGAUUGAUUAGGGUUGACCGUUUCAAUCGAGCCCUUAACGUUGUCGGAUCCAGUUGAAUUUUUUACCAUAGACAUAUUUCAUCAUAAUGAUCAUAUCUGACGGUCAAAUUUUGGUUUGUGAAUUUUAGUCAUCGGAAUCACAACGUGUCUACUAAUGUUAUAUAACCUGUUUAGUAGGUUUGAGCAAACUACGUAAUAUAGAGGGAGAUAUGAGCGUUUUCGUGAAUUUAUAGACUUUAGCCGACGAGAUAUUAAAAAAGUCGUCCGCUAAGGUCAAAAUUUUUUUGGCGGUAAACCAAAUUUGGAAGAAAAUUUUUAAAGGACUUUAACCGACGAAAAUAUAUGGAAAGUCGUCGGCUAAAGUCAAAAAAUUUUCAAAAUUUUCAACCAAAAUUUUUGGCGGUCAACCAAAAUUUUCAAAAGAGUUUAGCCGAUGAAAAUAAAUAAUUUCGUCGGGUAAAGUUCUUUAUAUAAGAGUUUUACCGGAGGUGGAUGGUAAGAAGUUAGAAAAUCAGAAAAAGUUCACGAUUUUCUUUUCGGCCUAGCUCCGCCGUCAAGCCACCGGAGACCGCCACACUUGUCCCAAAAGCUUCGCCAUCGUCUCUACUUUAUUGCUAGACAGGUGGUGCAUCGAGUGACGUCGCCGUGAGGGAUAAGUCGAGCUCCAAAACUCCGCCGGUUCGGAUUCGGUGUCGAUCGAAUUUCUCCUUCCUCAGGUCACCAUUUGGUGUGUUCUAUAUAUGGAUAAGUUGAGUUUGAUUAGAACUACAUUCCCCUAGAAUUUGGUUGCUCGAUUCGGUGUGUGUGAGGAGAAUCGAAGAUUUGAAGUUUUUAGAGUUUAAAAUUGGGGAUUUUUAUAUUUUGAUUCAAUUGACCUGUUUAGGCUUAGAAUUGGGCUUGACUUUUUCUAGAAAGUUGUUCGAAAUGUUGAGAGGAAGAUUCUGUUAAAUUUUGGUGGUGAUUGGAGGUGGCUGAAAGUUUCUGCAGUUUUUUUUUUCAAAAACCAGCAACUUUAGCCGACGAUAUUUAAAGGUUCAUUCGUCGGCUAUAGUAUUUUUAAAUUUUUUUAUAAGGUUUACCCGACGAAUUAUGGGAUAUUUCGUCGGCUAUAGUUAUUUUUUAAAUUUUUUUUAUAAGGUUUAGCCGACGAAACAGACUAUAUUUCGUCGGCUAUAGUUAUUUUUUAAAAUUUUUUAUAAGGUUUAGCCGACGAAACAAACUAUAUUUCGUCGGCUAUAGUUAUUUUUUUAUUUUUUUAUAAGGUUUAGCCGACGAAACAGACUAUAUUUCGUCGGCUAUAGUCUGGGAAAAUAUUUUUUAUUACAGACUUUAGCCAACGAAUAUCUUAAUUGUUUCGUCGGCUAAAGUCUGGAAAAAAAACCGACGACAUAUUUUUCGUCGGCUAAACUGUGGGACUAUAACCAACGAAAUUAUUUUUUUCGUCGGCUAAAGUCAUCACCGACGACAUUUUUCUGACGAAAUCUUAGCCGACGAGCCAUCGUCGGCUAAGAUCUUAGCCGACAAAUUAAACUAACAGGCCGACGAAACUUUUUCGUUGGCUAAAGUGCUUAUCCUGGUAGUGCAAGGCACGUGGCGAAAGAAGAACAAGGGACACAGCCCAGAGCAGACAAAGUUUGCAAACAAGAUUUUCAUAGUGAUUGCCAAGACAAGCAAGACUAGAGAAAUCAAAGAAAAACAACAAAACAAAUACAAAGUCUGAGAACGAUAAAGAAAAAGCCGAAAUCCAACAGAUAUAGAGUAGCAACAGAAGAUUCCGUUUAGCUGAAGCCACCAAAGAGGGGAUCAUGAAGAUGGAGGGCAAGGCAACCCAUCUCUCGAGAGAAUACCAACAAGGGAGGAUGGCGGACGGUCAAUCCAGACGUCCGGGCACAUUCUCCGCACCGUAAGCGAGGCGAGGUUAUCCGCCGCCGAAUUCGCUUUCCUUGAGAUCCAAGACCAAACAAAACUUUGCCAGAAAGAGGGAGAGUUCUUGAUCUUUGCAACAGCAGGGUAGAUGCUCCAGAUAUUGCAAUUGAAGGGAGAAUUGAUAGCAUCAAUCAAGCAUUUCGAAUCAGAUUCGAUGAUGAUUGGAAAAGGGGUGAGCUUUUCGGCAAGAGAACAAGCUUCAAUACCCGCGCGAGCUUCCGCUUCAAGAGCCGAACCCGCUCGACAAGUCGUAUGAACACCAUCAAUUAAAUCACCAUGGCAAUUCCUUGCAACAACUCCAAUACCUACUAGGUGAGUAUCCAUUGCCCAAGUUGCAUCAAAAUUUAUCUUUAUGUGUCCUUGUGAUGGAGGUUUCCAAUGCUCACAGUUGUGAUGGGCAGAUGCAUUGUGUGUGUGAAGGUUUGUGUGAUGGUGAUGAACAUGAUUUUGGUUAGUUCGGGGAGGUGGUGGAGGAAUGGGCUCUGGGUUAAUUUGACUUGGAGGGAGUGAACUGAUGGGAUUUAGAUGGUGGGGUGGAUGAGUUGGAUGGGAUUCACUAAUAGUUGAAAGAGAAGGCCAUGGAAUAUUAGUAUCGAUGUUGAGUUGUGUUGACAUUACAUUUUUGCAUUUGAGUUUAGUCUUCUUUAAGUUUGUUGAUCAGGUCUUGGGAAUUAUAUUAUUGUGAGUUAUAUCAUACCCAAAUUUUUAAAAUUUGUCAUUCGAAAAUUGGGGUGUGACACCUAAUCUCUCUGUUCUUUUUUGGGUUGAAAAACUAAGCCAAGCUCUGUGAACCCAUGACUUUAACUAGGCCAAGCUCGAGAUUCACCUUCUUACUAAAAUAUAGAGGAUAAAGUUUUCUUGUAAACUUUUUGUGUUUUGUUGAUAGACUGUCAAUAUGGAUCUUCUUGUUGAGGAAAUCGGUAGUUCAGUGUCUAUAUUUAUAUUUUAUGUGUAUCCCUUUAGAUUGUGAUGCUGCAUUGUUAUAGUUGUGAUGCAAAUAGUUUUUGGAUCUUUGUUGUUUGCUUCUUUUUAGAUUCUGAUGCUGCAUUGGUGAAGAGUUUCAGUUCUCUUUCUGACUUUAUGUUAGUAUCUUUCUGAAACAGCAACAACUAUACGUUUACUGAUCUCUAGCACCAUCAACAAUAUCUAAUUUGCCUUCUGGGUUGAUUCUGCUAUAUUGUUAGAGUUUGGAUUGUUAACAUCAAUCGGUUCUGGUCAUCUUAAUCAUUUAUUUUCUCUCCACAGUGGUUUUGAUCAAUUUUUUCUUGCCAGCGACAUGCAUUAGCAAUUAUUGACACUAACCUGCUGAAUAUAAGCACUAUAGUAUGUAACAAACAUCCAUUUUUUGUACAUUUGAGACCCCUCAAUAGAACCAGUACGUUGGAAUAAAACCAAACGAGAAAAAGGAAAAGAAAAAAAAACAUGGCAAAAGUGAGAGAAAUUGAAGUCAUUGAUCAUAUAGCCUUUUGCUUGCGUUUCAGUUCUGGAUAGUAGAAGAGCUUGGUCAGAUGCCCUUGGAAAAAGCCGCAAAACUAAAUAAAAAAAGUAGCUAGUAGCUACCCUUCAUUAAUCUAAUGAUCAGCAUAUAUUCACCAUAUCUCACUAUAUAUCCAUGAUCCAUCUCAACACUUUAUCUUAACUCUGAAGUUCAUAACUAAACCAUGUUUUACAAGUUUCCUCUACCCCUAAAAUUGUUAGAUAUAUGCACUAAGACUGGGAAACUUGAUUCUAGUGCUUUUGAAGCAUUGUGUAACUAGACAGGACAAAUCGUUACUAAGUUAUCGUUUUUGAUCGACUUUCGAUCCUGAUUCAGUUCUUUGUCUGGCAUACAAUAUAUGAAGCAAUAUUCUGCAAAAUAAAUUUGUAACAAUAUGCCUCUAGCAUCAACUUGUUUGUCGUGAUUUUUGUUAAUCGAUCUCUUGUACUAUUCCUUAUACAUGCACCUUUGGAUGGAUCAUAUAUGUUAUGUGAUUGCUUGUUUCCAUGGGUGUUCACCGGAAAUCAUGAAGUCUGCCGGCUCCAAAUCCUACCUACAACCAUAAAACACAAGUGUUAGAGAGGAAAAACUAAGGUUGCUGGCCUUCCACUCUCCGACGCCCAAGUUAGGCAAGUGUGAGAGAGAGGGAAGUAGAGUAGAAUAAGGAGUGGUGGUGUACCAUUAUGAGAGGAGGUGUGUCUAUUUAUAGAGCUAGGGUAUGCUUGUACCCUCAAAUUACCAUAUUGUCCUUAGGUGGAGAGUGUGGACUCUUGGGCUUUCACAUGUGUUGGGCCAUAUUUAAGCUUUUUAGGUAACGUUUGGCAUGUGAUCCCGGUGUUUGGGCCCGGAAAAGGGUCCGGGUAUAAACAAGUCUUCUAAGUCACCGAUCAAGAACUCUCUUGGGUGGGGAGUUUGUAAAAAUGGAAAACAUCGGGAGCACACGGUAAACAGCUAGAAAGAGGCACCCUACUGGGGUGGCUAGUCCCCCAAGUCCCCAUGCAAGAGAGGAAUGGACCAGGUCCCGCUAAGUAAGGUGCCGCUUAUUGCUAUGAAGUUACUUCUUCAAAUGCGUGAAGUCUCAGGGAAGGUAUACAAGAGGACAUGUCACAUGCUAGGAGGAGAAAAUAUGGUGAUAUACAUAACGUGGUUGCCUCUAGUGGUCUCUAGAGUGCCUACGUACCUAUUUAUGGGAUCAAACCAACCGUAGUUCACUUUUUCUUUAGUUUUGUGGUUUUGUAACCACUAUCGCUAUGUUUAAUAAGGUGUUGGUAUGCCGUUAAGGCAAAGAUACGCCGCCGAGGCAUGGCGAGUGUGCCGUUAAGGCAUGAAGAGUGAGUCGUUAAAGCAUGGUGAGUGUGCCAAUAAGGCAUGAAGAGUGAUGUUGAAGCCUAGAGGAAAAGUUAUUGAAGCGUAUGGCAGUCUAGCUGAGACUGGCAGGUGUUGGUGACGAGCGAGAGAGGGUGUCAUUGAGGCAUGAUGGGUGUGCCACUGGGGAAUGGCAAAGUUGGUGAGACAUGGCCUGAGGUUGCUUAAGGGUGUAAGAGAUGUUGUUGAAGCGUGGAAGAGGGACUGGUGGAGCCCAAGGGAUAUAUCACGCUACAAUGGAGAAAAGCUACCGAGUUGGAACAUGGAGGGGUACUGAGGUGGACUGAGGGGGAGCUUACCGUGUUAGGAUGUGGUGGAGCAUACUGAGAUGGACCUUGGAGGAGUUUACCGUGUUAGGAUAUGGUGGAGUGUACAAAGCUGGACUGUGGAAAAGUUUUCCGUGCGCUAGGUGGAGUAAAGAGGUAACAUGUUGGAUGUUUAAGUCCCCUAGUAUCGAGAGGGAUUGUUGAUACAUGCCGGGAUUAGCAUUCGUCAUUCAUUUCAUUUCAUGCCGUGACUAGGCAUUUUGCAUUCAUUGUGUCGCUCAUAGGCUUAACAAAUUUACUAGUGCCGUUAUUUGGCUUAAAUAUUGAGCCAUCGCUUGGCGUCAUUAUGCCGUUAUUUAGCAUUAAACAUUGAGUCAUCACUUGGCUUUGUAAAAUUGGUGUCGUGGUUAGGCAAUAAUGACCCAUCAAUUGGCUUUUAAUUUGGUGCCGUGGUUAGGCAAUGAUGAUCCAUCACUUGGCUUUGUAAAAUUGGUGUCGUUGGUUAGGCAAUAAUGAGCCAUCACUUGGGCUUAUAAAAUGGUGUCGUUAUUUAGCUACAGUCAUUGAGCCACUAUUUGGGCUUAUAUAAUGGUGUCAUUAUUCGGCAAUAAUCAUUGAGCCACUAAUUGGGCUUAUAAAAUGGUGCCGUUAUUUGGCAAUAAUCAUUGAGCCACUACUUGGGCUUAGAGCAUCUCCAACAGCUUCCUUAAAAUUUCUCUAAAAUGGGGAAGCAAAAGUUAAAUUCUCCAAAAAAAUUAUGAUCAAAAUCCAGCAGCUUCUCUAUUUUGGAGAUUUCGGUAUUUAAUACAACAAUAAAAUAUAAUAUAUCAUCAUGAAUUAUAACAAAAAAACAUUAUAUAUUUCAUUGUAACAAUAAACUACCCAAUCAAAUAUUUUAUUGUUGUUUUAAAUUUGUUGGAGUACGUGAAGAAUUUAAUUUUGGGGAAGGAAGGCUUUGCUGCAAAUUUGGGGAAUGAAGACUUCUUUUUCUUCUUCAUCCCCAUUUUGGGGAAUGGGAUGGGGAAGCUGUUUGACCUAAAAAGAGCUCUAUAUUCCCCAAAAUUGAGAAGUUCAAGAAAAUAGGAAAGCUGUUGGAGAUGCUCUUAUAAAAUGGUGUCGUUAUUUGACAUUAAAUAUUGAGUCAUUACUUGGGCUUAUAAAAUGGUGCCGUUAUUUGGAAAUAAUCAUUGAGCCACUACUUUGACUUAUAAAAUGGUGUCGUUAUUUGACAUUAAACAUUGAGCCAUCACCUAACGUAUAAUCAUGCAAUUAUUUAGCAUUUUCAUUCACCACGAUACCAUGACAAAGAGUGAUCGUAGCGGAGAGUACACUAAUAGGCUUACCUUUCAAUAUGCAUGAACCAAUCUGGUUACUGCUUUGGUGCGCAGUUAUCUUGCCAGUUAUGGGUUUACACCGAAGUGUUUUAAAAAAUGAUGUUGUGGUUUUUGCAAUACAGGACCUAGAAUACUUGUUGGAUUUUGAGUUUUGUAAUUGGUUUUGAUAUUACACUUUGUGACUUAAACUUGAACUUCUUCAUCUCUUGUCUGCAUAUAUGUAUGCUCAAAAUCCUUAUAGUUUCUCUACUGCUCGUGCUACAACAUAUGACAUGGUUUACGAUACAGUAUCUUUCGUAGUUUCUUCUGCAUCAGUUUCAAGUCCAAUGAAUUUGGUAGUACACACUCCUGGGCACUUUCACAAUUCAACACGCAGAUAGAAGUCUUCUUCAUCACGCAGCCUCUCACCUAUCACAAGCAAUCAACAUCUCUAUCUGCGUGUUGAAUUGUGAAAGUAUCCAAGGAGUAUCCGAGUUCAUGAUACUCAAGUUAAAGCAGGUGAUGGCUGAGAUGUUGAUUUUGAAAGAGUGAUGUUCGUUACGAGAGGAGUGUGGGAAAAAUAAAUAAGUUUUUUUCAUUUAUCUUUGUUUAUUUAUUGGCUAGAUUGUUGUUCUUCUUUUUUUGUGUGAGAAGGAUAGGCAUAGAUUUGUUUUUGUUAUUCAACCGACCAUUAUUAAAUAAAGAUCAAUCUAUUUUUAUUUUUAUUUUUAUUUUCAAUGUGAUUGUGUUGUAUAUAAAUAAGGGAGGGAGGUAAAUGAGUAGCUGUUUUUUUUUUUCGAUUAAGAAAUGAGUGGCUGGUUUGCUUCUCCAUUUUCCAGAGAGAAGAUCCGAGAGUACGCGACUUCAAGUGGCCACAUGGAUUUUCUCCCAAAUCUGCCCAGAUAAGUCUUUGUUUGUUUUUCUCUGUUUGAUUCAGAUUUGCUCUGACCAUUUGCUUGUUAAAGAUUCAAGCUAUAACUAAACAAAACUCAUAUGCAUCUCGUUAAGUUAAUGGGUAAAUGCAGAUUACAUGGUUAGAUAUAUAAUUUGAGCGAGCCCAAAUAAUUGAAAUGCUAGAUCGAUUUUGGGAAAUGAGCUUGAUUUGAUUGUUGAUGUUAGUUAAGGUCUUUUUUCUCUCACGUACUAAUAGGCUUACCUUUCAAUAUGCCUGGACCAGUCUAGUCACUGCCUUGGUGCGCAGCUAUCUUGUCAAAGUGUCUCGAAAAAUGAUGUUGUGGUUUUUGCAAUCCAUGGCCUAGACUACUUGUUGGAUUUUGAGUUCGGUAAUUAGUUUUGAAAUUACACUUUGUGAUUUAAACAUGAACUUCUUCAUCUCUUGUCUGCAUAUAUGUAUGCUUAAAGACCCUUAUUGUUUCUCUAUUGCUCGUGCUAUAGCAUAUGACAUGGUUUACAAUACACUAUCUUUUGUAGUUUUUUCUCCAGCAGUUUCAAGUCCGAUGCGUUUGGUAGUACACACUCUUGGACACUUUCACAAUUCAACACAUAGAUAGAAGUCUUCUUCAACACGCAGACUCUCAACUUUCAUGAGCAAUCAACAUCUCUAUCUGCGUGUUGAAUUGUUAAAGUUCUCAGGGAAUAUCCGAGUUCGUACUACUCAAGUUAAAGCAGGUGAUGGAUGAGAUGUUGAUUUUGAAAGAGUGAUGUUCGUUACGAGAGGAGCGCGGAAAAAAUAAAAUUAGUUUUCUUCAUUUAUCUUUGUUUAUUUAUUGGCCACACUAUUCUUUUUCUGUUUUUUGUGUGAGAAGGAUAGGCCCAGAUUUGUUGAUAUUCAACCCACAAUUAUCAAAUAAAGAUCAAUCCUAUUUUUAUUUUUAUUUUUAUUUUUUGUUUUUAUUUUCAAUGUGAUUGUGUUGUAUAUAAAUAAGGGAGGGAGGUAAAUGAGUGGCUAGUUUUUUUUUUUUUUCGAUGAAGAAAUGAGUGGCUUAUUUGCUUCUCCAUUUUCCAAAGGAGAGAAGAUCCGAGAGUACGCAACUUCAAGUGGCCACAUGGAUUUUCUCCCAAAUCUGCCCAGAUAAGUUUUUGUUUGAUUUUCUCUGUUUGAUUCAGAUUUGCUCUAACUAUUUACUUGUUAAAGAUUCAAGCUUUGAGAUGAACUAAACAAAACUCAUAUGCAUCUCGUUAAGUUAAUGGGUAAAUGCAGAUUACAUGGUCAGAUAUCUAAUUUGAGUGAGCUCAAAUAAUUGAAAUGUUGGAUCGAUUUUGGAAAAAGGUAGCUUGAUUUGAUUGUUGAUGUAAGUUAAGGUCUUUUUCUCUCACCUACUAAUAGGCUUACCUUUCAAUAUGCCUGGACCAGUCUGGUUACUGCCUUAGUGCGCUAGUUAUCUUGCCAGUUCUAGGUUUACACCNNNNNNNNNNNNNNNNNNNNGUUAAGACUCCUCAAGUAUUUAGAACCAUCUUUGCGCUUGAUCCUAAACAUGAAUGCUAACUCAUUUAAAGACACGUUGCGUAGAGAUUAAACAAGAAAACACUUUAGCACACGAGUCAAUCGGAAACAUGAUCUAAGGCAUGGCGUCACUCAUUCUAUUAGCAUGCAAAUUAUCAGAAUUAUAUCCGCCCUAAGUUAAUAAUAGAGACCAAGACAACUUUGCGUAUGAAUUGAUCCAAAAUUAUUAUGGUAGAUGAAACCGCACCUUAAGGACAACCAUGGCCGAGGCAGCCUCAAGGAUUGAUUUAGAUGCACGAAUUCAUGACAAUUAAUCAAUUAGAAAUCAAAAACACAUAAGAACAUGCUACUGCCCCAAAACCUAAAUCACGAAAUCAUCAUAUAUUCAAGAAGUUACAAAUCAAAACAUAGAACAAUCAAAGAUCACAAAGAAAUCCGAAAACCAUGUUUGAUAAAUAAAACCAAAAUCGAAAAGUAUAUUACAAUAGAGUUCGAACCUAUACAGAAAAUAAUACAAGAAGCCAUGAGAAAAUCACACUUUUACAACCUUGAAAGGUUCGGCAAGUGUGGGGAAAAUCGGUGGAAGGAUGGAAUGAUUCUUAUGGUUUGUGGUGGAUGAAUCGGCUAAGUAAUUUUCUGUAUAGGGUUUGGUAGAGUUUCGGCUAUGUAAUUGCAAGAGUAGAGAUGAUCUUUUUCUGUCCUUGAAGUCGUGCUUUAUAUAGAGGAAAAACCCUAGAGAAGUCGGCCACAAAGCCUAAACCAAGUUGGUUUAGGAUUCCUAGUUCUUCUCAAUUUCGGCAGAAUGACCUCCGUCUGAUGAUUACUUCAUAACUCCCUCUAGAAAAUAGAUAUUGAGGUGAUUCCAAUUGAUUUGGAAACUAGACUCCCGUAGCUCUCUAUCCAUAUCUAGCACGUUUUCUGAUUCAUUGUGAGCUGUCUUGGAGAGUCCGUUGAAGUUGACAGACGUGCACAGGAAUUCUCCCGAUUUAAUCUGGAUUUGCAAGGCUUGGAUAUUCUUGAAAUUCCGCCGAAUUUAUAUCUUCUUCUCCAUAUUGGACUUGGUUUGGACCUCUCAUUCAUGGACUAGGCUUCGUGGAUCAGCUGCUUUGCUUCCCUAGGUCCAUCAGGAACACUCCUCUCGACACUCUUCUACAUGUCACCUAAGUAUCAGAGAAGUUAAAUCAAUUUGUGACAAUGUAAAAGCUUUACAAAAUCAUAAAAACAUCUCUAAGGCUCCACAAAUCGGCUUUUGACAAUUUUCUACAUCAUUCCUCUAUGUUUAACACGUUUUACACACAACUCUACCAAAAACUUUCGACUCUACAUUAUGACUUUAUUCUACGACAAUAAGAGAUAAUCAAAGUACAAAUGGAGGUAAUAACAUAUUAAGAAUGUCGCAUUUUAUGCUCCUAUCACAACACAAGUUAAAGCAGGUGAUGAAUAAGAUGUUGAUUUUGAAAGAGUUAUGUUCGUUACGAGAAAAAUAACAUUAAGUUUUUUUCAUUUGUCUUUGUUUAUUUAUUGGCCAUACUGUUCUUCUUUUUUCUUUUUUUUGUGAGAAGGAUAUGCCCAGAUUUCUUGUUGUUAUUCAACCCACACCAUUAUUGAAUAAAGAUUAAUCCAUUUUUAUUUAUAUUUUUAUUUUUGUUUUUAUUUGCAAUGUGAUUGCAAUUGUGUUGUAUAUAAAUAAAAGAGGGAGGUAAAUGAGUGGAUGAUUUUUUUUUUCGAUGAAGAAAUGAGUGGUUGGUUUGCUUCUCCAUUUUCCAAAGGAGAGAAGAUUCGAGAGUACGCAACUUCAAGUGGCCACAUGGAUUUCCUCCCAAAUCUGCCCAGAUAAGUCUUUGUUUGCUUGUCUCUGUUUGAUUCAGAUUUGCUCUGACCAUUUACUUGUGAAAGAUUCAAGCUUUAAGAAACAAAACCAAUCUGCAUCUCGUCAAGUUAAUGGGUAAAUACAGAUUACAUGGUUAGAUAUCUAAUUUGAACGAGCUCAAAUAAUUGAAAUGCUAGAUCGAUUUUGGAAAAGGAGCUUGAUUUGAUUGUUGAUGUUAGUUAAUGUCUUUUUUCUCUCACCUACUAAUAGGCUUACCUUUCAAUAUGCCUGGACCAGUCUGGUUACUGCCUUAGUGCGCAGUUAUCUUGCCAGUUCUGGGUUUACACCAAAGUGUUUCGAAAAAUGAUGUUGUGGAUUUUGCAAUCUAGGGCCUAGACUACUUGUUGGAUUUUGAGUUCUGUAAUUGGUUUUGAAAUUACACUUUGUGACUUAAACUUGAACUUUUUCAUCUCUUGUCUACAUAUAUGUAUGCUCAAAGUUCUUAUUGUUUCUCUACUGCUCAUUUUAUAGCAUAUGACAUGCUUUACGAUACACUAUCUUUCGUAGUUUAUUCUCUAGCAGUUGCAAGUCCAAUGCAUUUGGUAGUACAUACUCCUGGGUAAUAAACUUAUAUACUUGAGUUUUAUAAACUUUGUUUUUGAAAUUUAUUAUUAGGGACACCAUAGGCGGCCUCUUGUUUCUUUCAUCAAAUACUUAUCUUGUUCUCAUAUUAGUUAUCAGUCAGUCUUCUCUCUUUGUUUACUUUUCUCUUGUAUUGCAUUCUAGAUAUGCCAUUUUGGAUGUAUAACAGGUCAAGAAUAAACUUGUUCGCGAAGUCAUAGAUUUUGUCAAGGGACAUAGAUCACUUUUUUAGCAUGUUCUUCGACAAGAUGUCUCCCAAGUUGAUGACUUGGUGAUGGAGCAGAUCAACCUUGUUGUUGGAUUACCAAGCAGGUAUGAAUAUUAAGUGUGUUUUUGUUUGCAUAAGAUGCAGUCUAUUUCUCUUUCUCUUAGUCAACUUCAAUAAUAUGGCUCUCAAACUUUCUUUUUCAAUCAUAAACUGGUCCGGAAAGAGGUACAUUGUCCAUUUUCUGACAGCCUCUUGUUGGAUCUUAAAAGAUAUGUUGUUCCGUUCCUACAUGUGUGGUAUGCUUGUAUAAACUGUCCUGCUAUUUUUGUCCACUCUUCGAAAAAGUGCGAUGCUCUAGAUUCUCCAUAUAAAGAUAGUGACGAAUCUGGUUUUGUUCAAGGGCUUGAUGCAUGCUCUUUUCUCUUGUGACUGUGAGACUCUGAGUUCUGCUCAAUCAGUUCAAUCUGUUGAUUUUUCCAGAGCCAACUUCAAAGCAGGGGUUUCCUAAGAUCUUGUCGUACAAACAUCAGCAGCUUAUCUUAUCAGGUGCUUGUUUAAUUAACUAAGUCAUUUUGUUGGCUAGACAAGAACUAAAAAUAUAAUAUAGAAGUAGAUAAGAGUUAAAGCUCACCGUGCUUGGGUAGGCAUUUUUUUUUUUAGCACUACUAAAAGUCUUUCCAUUCUCCUUGUUUAAGAACACGGUGCAAUAGAAAAUAAAAAGAAAAAAAAAAAACAAAAACUUUGCCUCUUUUUAGAGUGUAAAAUCCUAGGAACAAGUAACAUUUAUCCCACCCCAAAAUUUGGUAUAUAACUCGAAAAUAUUUUAAAACUCCUUUAUAUUUGCUGUAAAUUGGAUGAAAACAACACUUUUACAAUCUUGACUCUCUUGUGCAAUUUUUUGAAUAUCAAAUUAACGAUUAUGUAUGCACUGCAGAUUUGAGACAUAAAUGAAGUAUCAAGACAUGAGGUGGAUGAAAUUAUCAAUAUGUUUGCUUGGCAAGUAUGUGUUUCAUCAUCUGACAACAUACAGAAAAGGUCCUCCCUCCCUAACAUUGUUCGGAAAAGUAAGACCAAUCUAAUGUGAAGGUUUUCAACUGGGGUGCCUUUUUUUUAUGCAAUUGAAUACUUGUGUAUUGCGAGUUUGAGUUAUGAAUGUAUUUUUAGCUUUGAAGCAAUAGCAAAAUAGGAUGUACAACUAAUACCUGGUGAAAAAAGAAACAGUAUCAAUGAAAGCCUAGUUCAAUGCGUAGUUUGUAUUUCAGUGCAAAACCAGCUAAUGAUAGCGUGAUGAACAUAUUUUUUUAUUUUUUAAGCAAUAGUGAACAGGAAAUACAAAUAAUAGUUGGUGAAACUAAACGAACAAUAGUAACAAUUAAAGAUUAGUUCAGCGCUCAAUUUGUAUUUCAGUUCCCCAGUUAGAUAGUCAUGUUCUAUGUCUAUCACCAUUAAAUCACAUAGAAAAUUUUAUGUGUACACACAUACAUAUAUAAAUAUAUAUGUAUAUGUAUGUAUAUUAGCCCCCUUCUAAUGAGAGAUCCUAUUUUUUGGGUUUAUAUGAGGGACACACUCUCUGCCGUCCGAUCUGUUUUAAUGAGCUGCAACGGCUCAGAUCAAGUCAAGUUAAUAAACCCAGUUCUACCCCGAGUUAACCCAACUUGUGCGUGACUCUUCCGUUUCCCAAUUCUCAAACUCAUCGAUCUCUUCCUUCUUUGUCGCUCAUGAUGAAAAGACCGCGAAACGAAAGUAAGAGAAGCUCGAGGAGCCACUCACAGAGAGAAAGAUCAAGAGAAACCGGUCAAAAGAGAGAAAGCUCGAUAAUCAUCUAUGGUUUGCUUUUACUUCCAAGUUAAAAAGGUAUGACGAUCUUCUGCUCUUAAUAAAUUUCUUUCCAAUUUCGUUUAUAUGAGCUUUGGGUUUAUGAUGUUUUUGAUUGUUCAAAUAAGCAUGGGUGAAGAAUGGUCUUCAACUUGACUAAACUGAAAAAGAAUAGUGAGUUGAUUAUAUCAUUCCAUGACAAUAGAAUAAAGCAAACAUUCGUGAUAACAAUUCAGUUUUGUUACCCUUAAUGUCAUCACAACACAACUCUUAGCUUCACUAAAUUUGAUCAUUACUGAUCGAUAUGUACAAAGAACCAAUUAAUUCGAUUUGGUUGCUUUAUAGAUAUUGUUGUUGUUGUGAGUGUUCUAAAUUUUGUGUGUUUGGUAAGUCUGUGAGUUUGUCAUUGCUUUCUGAUUCCUUUUUAACCAAUUAUAUAUUUGGUUGUUUUGAUGAGGUUUAACGUCAGUAUGACAAUAGAAAAUAUAAUGAAGACACACAAUGCAAUACAUUAAUCAACUGCAUACAUGAAUAUAUAAGAAAAAUUUGUUUGACAUAUUCUAUAAUUGCAUAUUUUAGAACUGUGUAUGAUUUUCAUUGUCUUCGAUUUUCAAGCUCUAACUUCUGUAUUAUUGUUGAUGUUCAAGAAACGGCAGUUGACAUGACAUCGACAGACCUUAUGAAAAUUGAAACUACUGAGAUGUUAGUACUUAUGGAAUUAGAGAUUAAUGAGAUCCUUGUCGCUGAGGAACCAGAAAUUGAUCCUAUUCAAGUUGUCCAUCCGUCACAAGAAAAUAUCUCUACUUCAGCUUUCUAUUCUUAAGUAAGAAAUGAGCUUAAGCCCUUCAAAGGUCAGCAAUUUACAACAUGGGAAGAGGCACAUAAUUUUUAUAAAAAAUAUGCAUCUGUAGCUGGGUUUAUUGUACGACUUGGUUCUAGUAGGAGGAGCAAAAAAACUACUGAGUUUAUAAGUUGAAAGUUUUAUUGCAAUAGACAAGGAUACGGUCUGAGUGAAUUGGUUGGUGAUGAGAAAAGGAUCCGGGGUGUAGUAAGGGAGGACUGUAAAGCAAGAAUGAUAGUUGUGAGAGUAAAGUCUGAUGGAUUUGUAGUUACAAUAUUUGAUGAAGGUCACACUCAUCCUAUGACAAGUCCAAGAAAAAUCCACUUAGUAAAGUCUAAUCGUGGGUUUACUAAAACUCAGCGAUCAUUAUGGGAACAACUAUCCAUGGUAAACAUACCCCCAUGCAAGCAAUUUGACAUUCUUGGAGUUCAAGUAAGAGGUUUUCAGUACAUUGGUUGUAGACAGCAAGAUUUGUACAAUUGUGAAAGGGAUAAGUGUAAAGAGAAAAAAAAGGCAUGAUAGAGAAAUGUUGCAUGACUAUCUAUUACUCGAGCAAGAAAAAAAUUCAGGCUUUUGUUUCACAAUAAAGGCUGAUGCUGAGAAUAAGAUUACUCAUUGUUUUCAAGCUGAUGCAAUUUCAAGACAGUCGUACAAGUUUUAUGGUGAGUCAUUAUCUUUGACACUACAUACUAAACCAAUCGGGUAUAGUUUGAUUUAUGCACCAUUGAUGGGGAUUAAUAAUCAUGGUCAGAUUGUUGUAUUUGGAGUUGCAUUCUUAAGUGAUGAGACUACAUAUCACUACCAGAAGAAAAGCUUUAGCCGAUGGAAAUAAAAAAACCAGGCCGACGAAUUAUUUUUUCGUCGGCUAAAGUCCACGUUAGCCGACGAAAUUUUCCUUCGUCGGCUUUCGUCGGCUAAUUUAAAUUUUCAUCGGCUGAAGAAAUUUUUUCGUCGGCUACACUAUAAAAAUUUCGUCUGCCAAAGUUUUUACUCGUCGGCUAAAGUAUUUUAGUAGACGAAAAAAAAUCUCAUCGGCUAUUAUAGAAAAAAGUCGUCGGCUAAAAGAAAAACAAUAAAAAAAUGUUGUAUAACUUGCAUAGUAGGUUUUAAACAAAUACACAACUUUGUGAACCAACUCUACAUAGAAGCAAAAUUAACAAAAAUCUCAUGAAAUAAGACGUGUUCAGAAUGGUGAAAUACGGCUAUGGUUCAAAAAUCACGUAAAUCGGGUAACGUCUCUGAUGUAAAACAGUCGAAACCCGGUAUGCUGUAGAUUUGGCGUUCGGUGUCCGAUUGACUAUUGUGAUACCUUUCCGGAAGCUUAACGACCCUAAGAGUCAAACUCAUCGCUUUGCCAUGACAUAUGGGCCUUUUUGGCCAUCCGAGUCCGUUAAGGGCUUCAAAAUGCAAUUUUCAUAUUUCCGAUUAGAGUUGACCGUUUCGAUCGAGCCCUUAACGUUGUCGAAUCCAGUUGAAUUUUUUACCAUAGACAUCUUUCGUCAUAAUGAUCAUAUCUGACGGUCGAAUUUUGGUUUGUGAAUUUUAGUCAUCGGAAUCACGUGUCUACUAAUGUUGUAUAACUUGUUUAGUAGGUUAUACAACAUAGGAAGCAAAAUUAUCAAAAAUGUUGUGAAAUAAGAUGUGUUCAGAAUGAUGAAAUAUGGCUAUGGUUCAAAAAUCACGUAAACUGGGUAACGUCUCGGUGCCGAUAGUAGCGGUCAACCCUAUUUACUGUUAUUAUUCCCUAUGGGGAGCCUUAUCGUCAGAAUGUAAAUGUCUAAAAAAUUUUAUAUGGGCAGUUGCGUCUCAUCUACGUGAGAGUUUUUCAUGUGGAAGGUUUGACCAAACUACCAAACUAUGUAAUAUAGAGAGAGAUAUGAGCGUUUUUGUGUGAUAAGUGACGAUGGAUUAGGGUUGACCGUUUUGAUCGAGCCCUUAACGUUGUCGGAUCCAGUUGAAUUUUUUACUAUAGACAUCUUUCAUCAUAAUGAUCAUAUCUGACGAUCGAAUUUUGGUUUGUGAAUUUUAGUCAUUGGAAUCACAACGUGUCUACAAAUGUUGUAUAACUUGUUUAGUAGGUUAUACAACUUUGUGAACCAACUCUACAUAGGAAGCAAAAUUAUCAAAAAUCUCGUGAAAUAAGAUGUGUUCAGAAUGGUGAAAUACUGCUAUGGUUCAAAAAUCAAAUAAAUCGGGUAACGUCUCGGUGCCGAUAGUAGCGGUCAACCCUAUUUACUGUUAUUAUUCCCUAUGGGGAGCCCUAUCGUCGGAAGGUAAAUGUCUCAAAAUUUUUAUAUAGGCAGUUGCGUCUCAUCUACGUGAAAGUUUUUCGUGUGGAAGGUUUGAUCAAACUACGUAAUAUAGAGGGAGAUAUGAGCGUUUUCGUGAAUUUAUAGACUUUAGCCGACGAGAUAUUAAAAAAGUCGUCGGCUAAAGUCAAAAUUUUUUUAGCGGUAAACCAAAUUUGAAGGAAAAUUUUCAAAAGACUUUAGCCGACGAAAAUAUUCAAAAUCUCGUCGGCUAUUGUCAAAAAUUUUCAAAAGAGUUUAGCCGACGAAAAUAAAGAAUUUCGUCGGGUAAAGUUUUUUAUAUAGGAGUUUUACCGGAGGUGGAUGGUAAGAAGUCAGAAAAUUAGAAAAAGUUCCGGAUUUUCUUCUCGGCCUAGCUCCGCCGUCAAGCAACCGAAGACCGCCACACUUGUUCCAAAAGCUUCGCCGUCGUCUCUACUUCAUUGCUGGACAGGUGGUGCAUUGAGUGACGCCGCCGUGAGGGAUAAAUCGAGCUCCAAAACUCCUCUGGUUCGGAUUCGGUGUCGAUCAAAUUUCUCCUUCCUCAUGUCACCAUUUGGUGAGUUCUGUAUAUGGAUAAGUUUAGUUUGAUUAGUACUACAUUCCUCUAGAAUUUGGUAGCUCGAUUCGGUGUCUGUGAGGAGAAUCGAAGAUUUAAACUUUUUAGGGUUUAAAAUUAGGGAUUUUUAUAUUUUGAUUCAAUUGACCUGUUUAGUCUUAGAUUUGGGCUUCGACUUCUUCUAGAAAGUUGUUCGAAAUGUUGAGAGGAAGAUUCUGUCAAAUUUUUGUGGUGAUUGGAGGUGGCCGAAAGUUUCUGCAGUUUUUUUUUUCAAAAAACAGCAACUUUUGCCGACGAUAUUUAAAUACUAUAUUCGUUGGCUAUAGUAUUUUUUAAUUUUUUUUAUAAGGUUUAGCCGACGAAAUAUGACAUGUUUCGUCGGCUAUAGUUAUUUUUUUAAUUUUUAUUACACACUUUAGCCGACGAAUAUCUUAUUGUUUCGUCGGCUAAAGUCUGGGAAAAAAACCGACGACAUGUUUUUCGUCGGCUAAAUUGUGGGACUAUAGCCGACGACGUCUUCUUUUUUCGUCGGCUAAAGUCAUCGCCGACGACCUUUUCCCGACAAAAUCUUAGUCGACGAAUUAAGCUAACAGGCCGAAGAAACUUUGUCGUCGGCUAAAGUACUUGUCUUGGUAGUGUAUUCAUUUGUGUGGUUGUUGAAAGAAUUUUUGAAUGCUAUGCCAGGUGGUGCUCCUAAAAUGAUUAUUACAGAUCAAGAUCCAACCAUGAAGAAAGCUAUUUCAGAAGUCCUCCUAGACACAUUUCAUAGAUAUUGUAGCUGGCAUAUCUUGAGAAAGUUUUCUAAGAAGCUUGAUGAUGCAAUCAAAUACAGAGAUCACUAUGAUGACUUUAGAAAGUGUAUAUACUCAUCUAAGAAUGAAGAGGAGUUUGAAUUCAAGUGGAGAUCCGUUCUUGCAGAGAGUGGAUUAAGUGGGCAUAAUUGGCUGCAAUUAAUUUAUGAAAUUCGGUUUAGAUGGGUACCAGCCUAUAUGAACCAUGUUUUCUCAGCUGGUAUGUCAAGCAGUUAACGAGCAGAAAGUGCACACUCAUUCUUUAAGGAUAAAAAUUCUUUAAUGGUCUUCAUGGUUCAGUUCAAUAGGGGUAUGGUACAUAAACGACAUGAGGAGUUGAUUGUGGAUCAUAUUGACAUCAAUGAGAAGCCUAGAUUUAAGUGUCCCAUUAAGAUGGAAAAACAAAUGGUUGAUAUUUAUACACAGAAGUACUAUUAUAAAUUUCAAGAUCAGCUAUGGGAAAUCUACAACUACAAUCUAGAGGUCAAAUCAGAGGAUGAAAAUAAGUGCAUCCUUAAGGUUACAUGUAAGGAUCAUGAAGAUGGAAGAGCCCGGGUCAUCAUGUAUGAUAAAUCAAAAGAUUUUGCUUCGUGUAGUUGCAAAUUGUUUGAGAGUGCAGGAGUUCCAUGUAGUUAUGUUUUGGCAAACAUAUAUAAUUACAAACAUGUAUAUAUGUUGCAAACAUGUAUUACAUGUUUGCAAUCAUCUAUAAUUGCAUAUUCCAUCAUCUUUUUAACCUGCAAUUAUCUCCAUGAGACAUUAUGCAUGGAUAUAUUCAAGCUCGACGUACGUAUCCAACCCCAUAUAUAUGCUUAUUUCUUGGCCAAUAGAAACACAUUAAUUCCUUUUCUGUAAAAAAAUCGGGCAUUGCAUAAUAUAUCUUAAUAUAUACUUCGAAACUGAUCUGGAAACAUCUGAAGACUAAAAGCGAAUUUAACUUGUAACUGAAGAAACUAAACUGAUAAAGCGAUAGCCAGCAUCAAUUAAAGAUUUCGGAUAAUACAUUUCGUUUUCUUAUAUUUGCAUGGUACGAUCAAAUCAUCCAAUUUUGUCUUCAGACGACGGGCAAUGCUCGUCGUCUGAUUACUUUUUUGCGUGUCGUCUAUCGAGUUACCAUCUAAUAACGAUUCAGUCGACAGGCAUAAUCUGUCGUCUGAGGAUGGUUAUACGACAUACUGUAUGUCGUCUUUAUGAAUCCAGGUUCGUAACACAAAAAAUGAAUCUGUCGUUAGAAAUCGUUACAACAACAGAGAACUGUCGUUGAAAGAAGAAUUAAUCAGCAAAUAAUUGCAUUCGUCUGUCGUCUCCAGUUUAUUCUAACGUCACUUAUAUGACGUUGAAAUGGCUUUUUUAUCUACCCUAUUAAUUUAUCCGUCGUUUGUAUUCUAGUACUACUCUGCUUUUCUGUCGUUAUGAUAGUUUAAAACCUCAAAAUUCUGCACAUGUCUCUCGUUUGAGAUCAGAUCAUAAGUCACAUUUUUGUCGUAUAAAUAUUUGGUUUGUGGGGUUUGACGAUUCAGACGACAGAUAGCUCUUUUUUGUAUACGUUAAUGACGGAUGUGUUUACUCGUCUAUCGUCCGUAUCAAUAUCAGAAGACAAUUAUAUGUCGAUUAAUUGUGUAACAAGUUAUUUUGUCUAUCGUUUGAAUUGUUAUGAACGACAAUAUUAUGUCGUCUGAUGUUGUGAACCAUGACACAUUAUGAUCGACUCUUCUUCUGUAUGACGACAACAAAUUUGAUUUGGUUUCAGCUGUCAUCUGUGAUGCUGAUAUUACAUAUAGACCUUUCUUUCAAAUUGUAUUUAUAUAAACCUAUUCAUGAGCACAAAAAACCAUACAAGAAAACCUAGAAACCAACAAAUUAAAGCCACAUAUAUAAUAUCAACAUGGUAACCAAUUCAACAUCAUCCUUCAAAUCAUAGCAGAACCACAACUAGUUCCAUAUUGUUCACAACAAAAACCACAGUGAUCACAGCUAGUUUCAUAUUGUUCACAACAAGCUAGCUAAAACAGGUACCAGAAACCUAGCUACAAAGUAACUAACAUGCUAGCCAGCUAGAGUGCUAAAAUGAUCGAUCAUAUAUAAAAACCAAAAGUCGAUCAUAUAUUGUUAGUUGAAAACCGCCUACCUAACUAGUAGCCCUAUAUAUGCAUGCAUAUACAAUGGGUUCAACUUGCACAAAAAAUUAACGAGUCUGCUCCUAGCAAUGUUAGUUCCAUACCCUAAACCUUAAACAUUAGAACUUGUUUUGCCCAUUCAGCCCGAACUUCAUCAAUUUGCUCCGGUGUGUAACGCAAACCCUGCUUAGUUUUCCACUACAAAUAUAAAGCAACCACUAAGCUUAUGAUACGAAAAACUUCAAGUCAAACAUGUAAAUGAAGUCUAAUAUAAAUACUUUAGCAUCAAAAGCACAUAUAGUAGUAGCAAACUCCAAAUCCUUGUCUGCAAUAAUAUCCUUUAUGUAACGCAUGACCAAAUAUGCACAAGUCUUUCCAUCUUUUUGCUCUGAAAUGCCCUGCAAAAGAUAAUCAUCACAAAUUAGAAUCAGUUAGUGUGCAAAGCUUGAUUGAGAAUCAUAUGGAACAUGUUCCAACACUUACAAGAAGGGGGAUCCAUUCAACUGAUACUCUUGAAGAUUUCUUCAUCUUUUGUGCAUAGUAAAACUUGAUGCCACUUCAAGAUUGCCAACAGAACAUAAAACAUAUGUAAACUGAUUAAACGCGUGGAAAUGGUACAAGGUCGUUAACGGUGACUAUUAUAAAAGGGUCACAAGGAACAAGUAGUUUUAAUGGGUCAUGUGAACUUGUGAACAUCUAUUGAGAAUUGUAUUGUAUUCUUCUGUAGAAGAUUAAGAAUAAGAAAGAAAAAAUACACAUUUGUACACCAUGUUAGGUAUGGAAAUAGGAUUAUAAUUUGGCAUGUUAUGUCAUGUAUACAAGUAUUAUCUACAACGGGUUUUAAAUUUCUAGGCAGCUUUGCAACAUAAUGAACUUACAUAAUGACAUAUGACAUGAUUCAAAUGUACAUAGGUUAUACAAAAUCUUAUUACAUGAUAAUAAAUGAUUAACUUGUUGAAGGAGAAAAGAUAACGAGAAUAAUGGUCUACUCAUUCAUUGAUAGAAAUGCUUAUUUAUAGGCAUUACAUAGAGUCUCCCGAAGGAUCUAGAAGUUUUAUCAACUGAAAUCUAUUCUAAUAAGGAAACCGGAUUAGCCAAUCUUACGUGUAUUAGGGAAAGACACAUAACUGAAGGACGGAAACAUAAUUUCCUUAAACACUCCCCUUUGUGUUGCAUCCCUAAUACGUCACGGUGCUUAUGGUGUUGCCUCGGUAAAAACCUUGCCAAUAAACCAAAAACCUCAUGGGUAAAACAAAAGACUUGGUCGAAGGGAAAAAGAGCACAACGCACCAACUACAAUUGAAGAUAACAUGUGAUGCAUGCAGACUCCCCCUGAUGUCUACAUAAUGACUCCCCUUGAUUGGUAACUCAAUCUCGGAGUACAGAUAAACGGCGCAAGCCAAUGCACUUCACAUACUUCAAAAGUAGAGUUGGGCAACAAUUUAGUCAUUAAAUCCAGCCACAAUAUGCUUAGAUCAGACUUGCUAUGCUUAGCAUUACUUUGAUCUUCAAGGAGAAGGUUGCCUAACAACUCAAAACAUAAGUUCGCAUUGAAAAUCAGAUUUGCGCAUGACAUGACCUUUGUUUACUUAAACAGUCAUAACUUCUUCGAUACAAUAGGUAUCGACGAACCGUAUAAAGUUCUGGAAACAAGAUACACAUAGCUUUCCAACCAUACAAGGUCCAUAACCUAGUUCAUCUUGAGCUGAUCACAAAGCUCUGUCGAAGUUGACUGUUCUGCAAAAGCAGAUUCUCGGACAGAUCCGUCCUACUUUACGAAAAUAGCCAUAACUCACUCAAUAUGACAGAUGUGAUCAAAUGGUUGGUGUCCCUGGAAAGUAGACACAUAGACCUUUCCAAUGAUACCAAUUUCACCAUUUUCCAACGAGUGGGCUAUCCUGUAGGUCUCGUGGAAGUUGACCUAUGAAACUGGGCAGAUUCUGAUUUCGUAUUUGAUGUGUCUUUUUGUAGGGAUGAAUAAGCCUGAACCUUUCAUAGAAGGAAUCACUGCCAUUGCAUUGGCGUUGCGUGGGCGCAUCCGGCCACUACCUUGAUAUUCCUUCACACUCAUCUAAGAGGGAGCGAAUAUGCUCGACCGCUAGGAAGAGAGUCGAAAGACUAAGGAGAACUUGGCCUUACAAGUUUAUAAUGAAUGAGAUGUCGAGUCGAGCAUAUUGUAACAAGUACAUGAAUGUGCUACCGUACUUAGAUGGAGAAUUUCUCCUAAGACAUCUUCGUCAUACAGACAAAACGAGUCUUCUCAAGACUUUGACCGAUCAAGGGAUACAUAUAGGCAUAACUUCAUCGUCCUUUAGAUUGCCUUAAGCCGACAGAUGAAUAAGCAUCAUCAAUAACGGUUCUGACUUUCGAGACCAAGUAUUCCCAAGAUCCUUUCAUUCUUAAUUUUGGAUCAGUGGCAUCUCUUAGUUUAACAAGAGUUCAUCACGAUUCAUCCAGAAUUUACACACAAAUAGGCAUAAUUCUUUAUAUCCCUUCCCUAAUCAAGUUGAUACUUAACAAAUACCAUUCAAACAUGCUUCGUGGUCAGGAGCCACUUGAUUUGGGUGAAAACCAAUCUAUUCAAGAUCUUUAUGUACAUCUCUUAGUUCCCAACAGAGAUAAGUUGUGACCACAAGCUGCAUGUUCAGUUUUUUCGGAAACUACCAAACUGACAAGGUAGUGGAGUGCAAUGACAUCCAUUACGAGAGUAUAUCUCAUCGUAGUCGAUUCCAGGACGUUUGUGAGAGACCUUGCGCCAGAAGGUGAGUCUAAACUCUUUUUCUCACUACGCUUUCUAACAAAGACAUAACUGAUAGAGUUUCCACUUGGGGUGUCGGCGUCACCUAACCAAAGCACUCUCUCUUUGUUUAAACUGGAUCGCAUCUUUCCAUUUAGGCCAAUCUACAACGUUGGUAUUUUCUCAACGAAGUAUGGUUCGAUAUCAAACUCAUUAAACCACGUCAUCAUGUACACCGGUGUAAUUUCUAAGUGUAGAGAUCUCUAUAUGGAUUGGUAUUGACAUUGAGGCGUCCCCCAAUGAUGACCAUAAUCCAGAAAUAACUGACGAAUGACUAUCAUUGAUCAAAUGAUCAAGUUGUGCCAAAUUCGCAUUCUUCCUUGGCGAGUAUGUAUCAAACCAAGUGGCCUCCCCCUAAACCAUGGGAGCCACGGCCUAGCGACACCAUCUACCACAUUUGUGGUGUCACCAUGCGACCAUCUAUGGGUGACGACAUGUCCUCUUAUCCAGACAUCAACAUGUCUUUAUCUAAACAUCAAUCUUUGCAGGCAUGUUUGCAGCAUGCAUAUGUGAUCUCGUCACUUUAGGGAACUUGAUGAGACACAGUAGGAACAAACCAUGACAAUUCCAAGUCGUUCUACUUGAACAUUCUUGUUCUUAUCUCCCCCUAACGACGGGAAAACUGGCUUAUCAAAGUGACAUAAAAGAGAUCGCCUGUCAAAGUUCUUAAAUAAGCGGACUAUAGUCAGAAGCUCAUGUCUUAUUCAAAGAUAAUAUUCAUCAAAUAACCCAUCAUUAUGCGCUUGUGGAGGCGCAAUUUGGCACAUACAACAUGUGGACUAUAUAAAUUGCAAAACGUUAACUCAAUCUGUUAACAAAUAUGCAUACCGUUACAACCGUAACAUAAAGAUUUGAAUGACGGUGGGCAAAGAUGAAUAAGUAAAACUAUGACCCUGCUACAACCCGUAGUCGUUGGUCUUACAAGUCCAAAAAACCGCUGGCCUCACCGUCGGGACCGGUCAAAAAGAAAACCGGUUGAACUGACCGCCGGCAUCACUGGACCUUCGUUAUACACUUCCUUUAACGAUUCACUAUUUUCCAGAGCUCCAAACGCUACCAAAUUUUGUAUGCAGGUAGACAUGGGCGUUAGGAUUGCAAAACCGCCAGAAUCAAUGACGGAACCGGACGGAAAAGUGCCGAACCGGCCGUCGAAGUCGCUGGACAUCCGUGAACACUUAUAUUGAGCGGUUCACCACCUUCCAGGUCUCCAAAUACCACCAAAUUUUGAGAAUAGGUAGGCUUGGAUGUUAGGAAUCAGUGACCAUAAACAGAACCUCAAGAACCGGUUUAAAAGUUGAUGAACCGGUCCUCAAAAUGACUGGUCCGCAAGCUGAAAAACGGGAAAUUCUAGGUUUUGUCAACUUUUCAAUCAUUUUUAAGGUUCCCCAUAACAUCCAAUUGUUAUGGCUUGAGUUGAACCAUUGUGAACAUCACCAUAUAUAGCAUUAUUAUGCCUCAAAGUGAACAAUGAGAAGCCAUCUAGGACAACAUCUUAUGUAUCAAUCUUGUAGAAUCACUCGUAAACAUUGUAAUUAAUGUCUAUAGUGAACAACGACUUAGCAUCUUGUUUAUAUGCUAGUCACUACAUUUCAUUGUCUUUAGUGUAGGAGGGUGUCACUCCUAAUUUUUGCUAAAGAAUAGGCUUUACAAAACAAAGUAACGAGCAUGGCCAAUGUGAGAUCAUAGGAGGUUUUUUUGCAUCAUAUUUGCUUAUGAAAGCAUGAGUAAUGCCUCCAUUGUAUAGGAGAAUGACGCGAAUGGCUUUAAUGCCAUCCAUAGGCCGUGAGUAUUGCUCAUAGCUACUUUGGUGAUCUUUGAUCUCAAUGGUUACUUUGCUCAAAAGAAAGGAUGUCCGUGAGAAUCUUUACUCUUUAGUAUACGGAUCAUCAAAACACGUCCAAAAUUGUCCCGGACGAUUUAUGUUAAAGCUUACAUGAGUCGAUGUCUCCAUUCUCAUCAUUGGUGACAAUAACCGAUUCAAUUAACCGAAUCUUAGUGACUCAUAAAUGUUGCGCAUUCAUUAUAGUGAUACAUAAGAAAUUCUCAUCAAUUCUCACAAUGUGUUUAUAGGUGAUAAACGUUGGCGUGAAUAUACCAUUAAGUCAUAGCACGGUUCGAUUGUUUUCUUAUGCAUAAAUAGCAUAUGUGACUUGAAUCAUAACGCCAUUAGGCAUUGAAACUUGAGCAUUAAUCUGCUCUGAUUAUUUGUGAUGAUCUAGUCAUCAUAGUCACAACGGAUUUAUAAAACACCAAAUCCAUAAAUAAUUAUCUAUUCCUUGCAAUAAGCUAAGCACUCAAUCUCGCUACAACACAUUCAUACACCAGAAUGUAGAAACAACAGUCUUAUGUUAAGACAUAGAAACCGAAAUAUAUUAACAAUAUUAAAAAAAGGUAUUAGAAUCCUUUAGAGUGGGUUACAUGACGUAGAAUACUUCGAAGAUGGACAAAACAAGGCUUAAAAACAUGCCAAAACUUGGCAAAAUUGGUCGUGAGCACCCACGGCCCACUGUUGGAUCUUGUAGAGAAAGAAGAGGAUUUUUCAACAUCCAAUUUUGGAUGACAUUUAGCGUAACGCAAUUUUCUUUUUGCAAUUAUGAAUCCGCUCAAGAGUGUAGAAGACUACUCUUGUUUGUAAUGUCUUUGCAAUUGUAUAGGUGUGCAUUGUGCCACACUUGACAAAUCCUCUUUUGAUCCAAAACCGAUGUGCAUUUCGCUACAUCAUGAUAUUUAGCCUUUAGAAACGCCACCUUAUAAUAACUAGUGGUCCAAUGUAAUCCAAUGUAGUCCAAUGUAGUGUCAUAUUGUAAUGCGAUAUAUUGCAUUACAUAUAGCUACAUAUAGCUUAUGUAGAUCGAACCAUAUGUGCAAGACAAAAUUCGAAUAUAUAUGCCAACCUUGCAUCGAGGUCUUGAUCAUGAAUUUAAUUCAAAAUAUAAGGACUAAGUAACUCUAGUCAAAUAUGUGAGGUGUAUGCCUUCACAAAACUUGAAAAAAUAAACGGAUUUUAUAGUCACUUAGACUAUUAAACCGAAGUCAUGUGCUUCAUAUCUUCCGCAAUGUACAUUUUGCUUUAAAAAUCCAUAACUGUGAGAAUAAUGUUCUCAUCUUCUUCCAUAUAGUGAGCUUCUUGUUUCAAGAACUCCAUAUAUUUCUUGUAUACAUUGACCAUAUUAUUGUUUUGUUUGCAAUUAGUGAACCGAUGUAUAACCACAUCAAUAACAUGAUUUUUCUUUUACUAGCCCAAUCUUUAUAUGACAUGUGGGGUUCGAGACAUUGCCUCCCCCUCUUUUUUUAGAACGUGUGACAUGAAAUUCGUCACUUUUUUUUUUAUUAUGUCAAAUUUAGGGCUUAUGUUUCGGUCAAUUAUUUCAAACAAGAAAAUGGAAGAUUAACUAUUAUCGAUAUACGGUAAUUAAUUCCAAGUAAUUGGGUCAAGACCAUGAUUUAUGGUAACUCAAUUCGAUGUGAACCGUGACAAAUUCCGUCACAAAUCGAUAUUAACCGUGACAAUUUUCGUCACUAACCGAUGUUAACCACAACUAUUUAUGUCGCAAAUCGAUGUUUGUCCCCUUUUUAACCACGACAAUAUUGCGUCGUAAUACCGUGACUUGUCAAACCGUCACAAAUUUCAACUUUGAUAUGAGGGGUCCCAAUCCCUCAAUAUCGUCCCACGUUAUAAAGAAAUGUGGGAUGUAGAAGAAGGCUACGAAGCCCGACUAUGAAAUUAAAAUUCAAAAACGGUAACUUUUAUAAAAGCUUACUUGCUAGUUUGUCAAAUAAACUGCGUUUAACAGAAGUUGCCCUUGCCAUUUUCAUGUGUACUUCUACGUGCGUGCAGAAGUUACUCUUGUAAUUCCAUCGCGAUCCGUCGCGCAAAAAAUUUCAUGAAAACCGGAGGGACAAAUUUACCGUUUUGCCCCUAGUAUAUUCAGUUAUGAGAGACAGAGCGGGUCAGAUCUUCGAAUCCGAGUUGGUGGCGAGCGCAGGUCGACAGGCCGGAGAGCUAGGAUGGCGGCGCCGGAUUGGGAUCGAAAGCACGGCAUCGAAGUUGCACUGUCUGCUGUUGUGUGUGUGAUACUGUGAUGCUCGGGGGUUCGUCUUCGGGAGUUGUCAGGCAGUGCUGGAAAAGGCAGCGCUCGUCAGAUCUGGGCUGGGCUAGUCGUACGGGCGAGCUGCGGAGGAGCAUAUGCGGCGCCGGACUAGGGCAGAUGCUAGCGAGGCUAGCUAUGGCCGGAUCAGAGGCAAGUCGGAGCAGCUCGGUUGUGGCUAGGUUAUCGAUGGCUAUUGAGAAGCUUUCGGAGCUUGGGCUCGAUGGUUUACGCCGGAAGAGAAGGGAGAUUUGUAGGUGCACCAGUCCAGUGUUCGGAGAUUGGGUCGAGGCCGGAGGCGGUGCGCAAGGCUUCUGGCCUUCGACCGAGAUGAUGUGGUUGCCGGGUGGAGGUCGCCGACGUCACUCAGGGAAGGUGGGUGCCCAGAGCAAAUUUAUGGGUGCCCAGGUUAAGAUCGAUUGGGUACGGUAGCGAAAAAUUUUAGCGCUUUUUUUUUUUUAGGUUUCUAGGGUUUUCGUUAUCAAGCUCGAGUUAGAGCACAGUGCUGAUAACGUGUUGAAGGAGAAAAGAUAACGAGAAUAAAGGUCUACUCAUUCAUUGAUAUAAAUGCCUAUUUAUAGGCAUUACAUAGAGUCUCCCGAAGAAUCUAGACAUUCUAGCAACUGAAAUCUAUUCUAAUAAGGAAACCGGAUUAGUCAAUCCUACGUGUAUUAGGGCAAGACACAUAACAGAAGGACGGAAACAUAAUUUCCUUAAACAUAACUAACAUUAUCAUAGGAUAUUGCAUUAGAAUAUCAAAGAGGGACGUCAUUUCUUGCCCGAUCGGAAACAAAGUCCAACCAUUUAUUUUUAUUAUCAAAAGAUUACACCAUGCAGCAAAAUGGAAAAAAUGUAUAGUUGAAUACCAUUACUUCUAAACUUUUAUCGGCUCCCCUCAUCCCUUUACAUCUCUCAUUUUGCAGUUUUGAUAUUGUUUUCACUUUCUCAUUAGCCUUACCAACCACUUCAAUACAAAGUUAAAAACAGCAGAAAGCAUAGCGAGGGUGAAUAUCUGUUUUGGAGAAAAGAGUUUACAAGAGAGGAGAAUUGGCUGAAAAAAUACUUGAAAGGUGGUAGUGGUUUCUCUGAUCAGGUUUAACAGCAUAAGGUGAAAACGUAGUGAAUUGGCCAGAAAUAUCUCAUACAUAUAACGCAGAGCUGACAGCUUAGGCACAUAUAUAUUCAUUCUGUAGUAUCUCAUUCAUAACCAAAAGCUAACAACUCGGACACUCAUCAUUUUAGACUAAAGAACUCAUGGAUUUCAUGUAUAUAUAUUGUCCACAACAUCAUUUCACAAAAAAUUAAAAGGGAUUUUUAUAGUCCACAAAACUUACUUGUCAACAACAUCUUGCCAUUCACUAGUAGUUGAUAGUCGCCUCUUUAACGGAUCCAACCAGUAAACCUUCUUUCGGUGCGGAUCCACUACCGAUAAGGUCCAAUGAUUACUGUAUAUAUGCCACAAACAAAACAGAAUGUAUCAGUCUCAUAAAGCAGUUUAUACAUGUAUAUAUUUUUCCAUUACAUAUCUAAUGCAUACUGUAACGCCCCAAUUUGCACCUCUCCAAAUUGGAUACGUUACAGUGCCGCGAACCUUUAGACUCAUGACCUAAAGAGACGCAAGGCAAUUUUUUUUUUUUGUACUAAAAACCGAAACUUUAGAAAUAGCAAGAGUGGCGGAAAGCGUAGCGUCUAAAAUGAGGUGAAAACAUUGAACACUUCAUCCUUGUUUAUUAAAUGACGUUAUAACUAUAGCAACUCCAAAAGUGUGUUCCAAACAAAACAAUUAAAGAGAGACCAAACAGAACCAGCAAGAUACCACAUUUAUAAGUUAACACAAUUAAACAAUAAAAAAUCUGUAAAAGUAAACACAAAUCGAGCCAAAUAUAUCAAGGCAAAUAAUUAUGAACGUAGCACCCAGCUCGGUCCCGAAGUCCUCCUCUCAUGCACAGUACUUGCAAGACCAAUUAUAGUAGGGGUGAGCUUUCGUCCUUGCUGCUCAAGCAUCAACCCUAACUAGGUUUGAAAUCCAAAUAGUAAUAAUAAUAGGCGCCAGUUGAGUAAAAAGUAAAUAAAUCGAAAUAAUAUUUUUCAAUGUAAAACCAACUGAAAAUUCCAGAGUACCCGGGUAAAAAUCCAAACCUGAUGACCGGUCUAUAUUUAGCCAACUACCUCUUCACCGAAGAUCUUUGUCCUCAACAACUGGUGAAGAGUAGCGAGAGUGUCCAUUUACGCCAUACCGCAUAGGAGCAAUGCCACACCUCAAAGGAUGUUAGACAUUCUCCAGUCCGUACAGCCCCUCCGGAGGUUUAGGGGAUCGAAACCCAAGGAAGUCGCUAUGCCACGCUCACUCUCAAAUCAUCUCAUAAACUUAAGCAUUAAAUCAUAAAUCCAUUUUUCAAAUCAUAAAGCAGUGUAUAAAACACUAACCAGGGUGAAGCCUCCGUACCUCAAUUAUUUAGCAACGGCUUGAUAGCAACGUACAUAAUACUCCAAUACUACUCCUUCAUCGAUAGCAGCCUCGUCCUUCAUUGUUAGUAGCCCACAACUUGCCUAAAUCCUAAUAUAACAUACAUCACAGAUUGUCACUUCAAGUACCAUUUUCUGUGUAAAGGUUUCCAAUGUCUUGUCUAAACACUUACGUCACUCACAAGGACUAGAAACGAGUACACAUCAAGAGCUAGGAUUAAAGUGAGGUUUCAGAUGACUAUCACACAGCUCUUACAAUUGAGGACUCACAAGACAAGAUUGGAACCAAGUGAACAAGAACAAAUAUGAGAAUAUUGAGGGCUCACAAGACAAGAUUGGAACCAAGUGAACAAGAACAAAUAUGAGAAUGAAGGAGCUGCUCAGAUUUGCAAAAUCAUUAAGAACUCAGUUCUUGACCAAUAAGUAUGAAACUUAGCAGAUUAAAAGGUAACAUGUUAAGGUACAACAUACUAAAAUUUCAAGCAAAUCGGAGUUCAGGAAAUAUGGGAAAAGAUGGAUGACAACAGACCGAAUUGCUCAGUUUUCUUAAAAUUUCCAGCAGCAUUCUAUCAACUCAUAAAAUCUGUCAAAAUGUCACUAUGACUCCGGUAGACACCAAACAAGUUGGAGAGGAAUGCUUGACAAAUCAAAUUCUAUGAAUUAAAGUCUCAGCAUAAACUCAUUCAAGAGCCAUAUGGGUUUGAUAAGUACAAGUCUAGAAGGUAAGGUUUUGAUAUGAAUGAACACUAAGGAUGAAUAAACCUUAACAAGGGUUUGAUAUCAGAUUACUUGAAGGGACCAAGUUUAGCAGAUGCAAAAGGGUAUGUUUAUGAUCACAAAACUUAAGAUUCUAUAUGAAGAUUGAACUAGAAAGGAUGAGAUUCAAUAGAUUGAGCCAAAACUUACCAAUUGCCGAAUCAAUAGUAUAAACUCAAGGAGAUGAAAACUUCAUGAUAUCAACUCAACACCGAUGAGGAAACAUGACCCAUAUCAAGGAGAAACUGAAUUUGUAGGAGAAAGGAACAUAAACUCGAAUUAUAAUCGGAACCGGAACUAUAUAUCAAAACAGGAUUCUUCCCUGAACAGCAGAUGGCUUUACCUUAAUUGAGGACAAUCUAACCGCUGGAUCAUCGUCAAAUUUUAGCACAGCAUAGUAGACCCGAUUUCCAGAAACUUUCAUGAGGAAGUCGUGGUCAUCUGAAGAGCAGAAGCGGCAGUUUUCAGCCGUCGAAAUUGGCUGACAGGAACAAGUUCACAAGGGAUUCUCAUCUUGCAACUUUCUCUCAGUUCAGAACUGAUUAACCAGACAAAUUUGGCUAUGUUGUGUGUCACUUUGGCUACUGAAAGAUUGCUUCACCAAAGAGGAAAAAUUUGAUUAGUGUAGAGAACAAAGGAGAGAAGGUCCAAAGGACAGAGGCGGUUUCUCACGGGUGAAGGACGCGUGUCUCUAACUUAUAUCACCCUUCUUCCCUUUUCAUUCAGUUUGACCAGUCUAAUGGUCUAGCAACAUGUGUACUAAACAAGCUUAAUCCUUAAAAGAAAGAGACUAAAAUAAAUUGAUAGCAAGGAAACCUCUCUGACUGAUGAAGGCUUCUAACUUUAUUUUCAUCAGAAGUCACUUGCUUUAGUACAAUAAGAUUCCCAAAUCGUUUUCUCCAAAUCUUCCAAGUACCAACGUACUUUAAUUCUACGGGGUCUCACACAUACCUUGAGUUAUGAGGCACCAAAUAAAUCUGAUCGCUGGUCCCAUCUUUAAAACGAUUCAUUAAAUUCUUAGAGCGUUCAGUUGGAGUUCCACAUCCAAGUGCACCAGUGUGAUUGGGGUCGACGAAGCCAACCAUGUCAGUCAUCUGGGACUUCUUCAAAACCUCAUUGAGGUAGCUACAUAGACAUAUAUAUUGACAACAUGAAAGCAGACUUAGAAAUAGCAAAUAAGAAACAUGUUAAAAAAUUUAACAGCUAUGUCCUAAUGUGUUACAUUAAUUAUCUAAUGUAAAAUAUGAUGCAGCUGGAUGUUAAUUCUGUCAUGUGUGCCAUGGCAUGAACGUCCUUUCUAAAGAUAACUGUCUUUGUUGGAUGACCAAAUAUUUCAGCAGGAAAAGUUGUGAAGAUGGUGGCUCUAUUACGUAAUUCAGUAUUUGCCCAAGUGCACAAGUAUAGUAAUUGCCGCGGGAGAUUCGGUGGUAGGUGUUCCAAAUCUUCGUCAUCAUGAUCCUUUAGCGAUGCUUGUUGUCUCGUCCGUCUCCUCGUAGUAACUAUAGUCUUUGGUUUUGCUUUGUCCUGCAUAUUUGUCUUAGAAAACUUUAUGAAGCAAGAAGUAUGAUUAAACCAUAUUUCUAAAAUUAUCAUAAACAACUAGAAGCAGUUAAGGACUACCUCCACGUCAACUGUAGCCUCAAUAACGAGAUUCCUUGGCCAAGCAACAAUAGACCCAAGGGCAUCCUUCACAGUCAUUAUCUCAUCUUUUAUAAGAUACGGCAGCAAAUGAUGACCAAUGAUUGGAACAAUAAUAGAGACUCAAACAUUUUCAGCUCCAAAAGGAAUGUCAUGGAUUGUUUGCUUAUUUGAUCAAGGUCUCCAUCAACAAUACGUCCAGAAGCUACAAUGUUUUCCACCAUGUCAACGGCCAAUUUGCAAUCAAGCUGACCUUUUUGAACCUACACCAUUAACAAAUUAAUGGUAUACAGUUAUAUAUCCUAAAAACUAUAUCAAUCUCUAAAAAUGAAAUAGUCAAGUUUAAUAUUUACCCCUUCAGCAUUGGUUGAUUCCUUUGGUGCAGUGACAUCUUCCAAUAUCGACCCAUCCCUUCCAUCAGUGGGCUACUAAUUUUCUAAAACAGCCUCUUUACCAUCAACAGGCUGCAGCUCUUCCUCAGCAACAUCUUUACCAUUAGUGCAGCCGCCUAAAACCAACCUCUUCUUCACAGCUUGACAACCAGAAUGGUUACCCCGCUCCCAAGGCCUAGAACAACUCCCUUAUCCUAAACCAACGUCAUUAUUAACUGCUGUAACAGUUUGUGGGAUUCAGAAGCCAAUAACUUUCCUUCAAGCUUUGCUUCUAGCAUCGCAAACUUCUUCUCCCACUUAGCUUCAGCCUCAACAAAUACCUCAGCCUGUUUUUUCUUCAUUUCCUUCUCCCACUUUGCUUUUUCUUUAGCAAAUAGACUCUCUCUCUCCUCCUCCGACACUUUCUUCCUCCCCCUUUGUUGCCUUGGCAAGUCGAAAUAAGUCUCAGGCUUCACAUUUCCACCAACCCCUCUAACCCUACCUCUAUGCUCCGGAUUACCCAAUGCUUCAGUUAACACAUCCUUGGUCCCUUGCGACUUGAAUUUCCCUUCAGCCUCCAUCUUCUGUAGGUUCACCUACACCAACCAGUCGAAAUUUAAAUUAAACUGCUGAUAACAAUGAAAUCAAUGUACUUGUCAUGGUGUAAAUUCUAAUUAACUUGUUGUCUUAUAAAUACUCACAAUUCGUUCAACUGCUUCCUCCACUGCAACAUCUAAGAAUUUCCCAUCUUUGUCUUGCCUUGCCUUGAUCCAGUAGAUGUAUCUACCGAGUUCCUCAAGUUCUUCUGGGGACAAAGUUGUAGCACAGAUAAACACAUAGUAAGUGAAAAGCAAGAAGCAUUUAAAACUGAACUCUUUUCAAUAAAUUUAGUGAGUUUAUCAAAUAAAACUAACAAUUUCUGCCCUCAUUCCACGAUAUCCUUUGCGUGACAAACGAUGAUUGUAUUUGUUUUUCUUUCGCUUUUCAACUUGUUCAUUGUGUAGUUCCUGCAAAUUAAGCCAAGCUUAAAUUACAUAACCGCUCAAAUGAUACUUCAGUAAAAUUAGACAUGCCAAAACCAAAAUAACUAUGACCUAUCGGUGACAAGCUAAAAGCCUGUCGGCGACAAACUCUUGCCAAACAUCCUUUGUUAUGAAUCGGUAAUUGUCUGGAGGAAAUUCUAGGAGAUCCAGGUCAUUCAUGUAACGCAUGAUGUACUUUAACGUCAACCUGCUUUUGAAAUCUCUCCAUUUAGUUGUUGCAAAUGCAAUUACACUCUUCCUAAGCUUUUUAGGCACAACAAAUGCUUCCUACACAAACACGAUAUUUGUUGUAAGUAACACACUUACAAAAUUAAACUACUCAUUUGAAGUUAGCAAACAUAUAUAAAUACAACUAGUCAAUUACUUGUACAGAUUCCCAAAUCUUCUGCUUUUCAUCCUCAUCUACGUCUCUCCAAUCAGGGAUUGAGAUUAGGAUCUUUGUACGUGCCAAUACUCCAAUGAAGAACUGCAUGUUUCCUGCCUCCUUACCAAUUGGUUCACCAUUUGCAGUUAAUUGGACGACUAUCCGCUGUCCACGGAUAAUUGUGGUGGUAACCUGAGCCAUGGUUACCAUUCCACGCUUGAGCAGCUUUAACCCACCGGUUAAGUUUUUCUCCUCUUGAGCAGCAUCAUCACUUUGAGCUUGUUGAGAGUUGUUUGAUGACUUGCUCACAGACUUGGUCACAUUCAGCCUCCUUGAUGUACGCUUCUUUGGGGAGGCAGUUUUUCUUGCUCUUGAUCCACCCUUACGCUUUUUCGGGGAGGCAGCAUCUGAUCCAGCUUUACGCUUCUUCGGGGAGGGACUCGUACGCUUCUUUAAGGAGGCAGCCUUUGAUGCAGUCUUAACGGGGGACAGAUGUUGGGAUGAGGACUUAAUGGGGAAUGCAUACUUAGAUCUUGAUCUUUUCAUGGCCACAUCCUUCAUUCUUAAUGUUAUGGCUCUCGCACGUUCAGUUGCUGAAGUAGACGGUCUCAUCUUUUAUCUGAAAUAAAUAAACAAAAACUAGUUAGUUACAUUUUAACAGUCGUAAAACAUGAAUUCAUAUGUAAGAGUGCAAGCAAAGUCAAAUAAGAUAUAACGCAACCAAUAGUUAAACAUGAAAUGAAUACAUAAAUCCAGAAUCCAAUACAACUAAAAUUAAACAUGCACCAACUACAAAUAUAUGAUCAUCUCGCUAAAUACGGCCGUAAAAUAGCUAAAUGGAUCAUAUAAUCAUAAUGCCAAAAUCCAACUACAAAUGUCGACCAUAAUGUCACUUAUCAACCCAGAUUCCUUCAUCUCAUGGUCUAGCGUAUAAGCUAGGCUCAUCACCAACUACAUCGUCAAAGCUCUCAACCAGUGGCAUUAUGGGAAUAUAUGGAUGUUGCUCCACUACAAUAUUGUCAUCCUCAUCAUAAUAAUAAUCAUCAUCAGCAGCAACUUCAUCAUCACCACCACCACCUUUAAAGUCUUUAUCUGGGCACCUUACUACCACUAACCAUUCAGCAUCAAGGGGGUCUUCUAUGUAAAAAAUUUGUUUCACAUGGGUAGCCAAGACAAAUGGAUCAUUUAAAUGCCCUCAGUUUAACCAAAGUAAACUCAAGUUCGUCCACUUUGACACCCUUAGAUGACUCCACCUAAUCACACAAGAAUAGUGGUACCCUAAACUUAUAGUAGUCCACCUCCCAAAUCUGUUGGAUUCGGCCGUAAAAGUCCAUGUCCACAGUUGUAGGCCUUUUAUCCUUUGCACUACCAACUUGCAUUGCAUCGACAACCAAAAAGACGCCACUGUUUUGAACUGAUCUCUUACUGUCCCGCUCCAUAGUGUUAAAAUCAACCCCAUUCACGUGGUAACCACGGAAAGUAGGAACCUCCUUAUUUGGUCCACCAGCCAGCCACCUAAUGGUUUCAGGAACUUCAUUAUCGGCAAUUCUAAUUUCAUUUGCAACCUGAAAUAACCAUAUGCGUUAAAAUAGACACCACACAAUAGGAUACCAAAGACUUUAAUAAUUCUAAAGUCAUAUAAAUAAGCUGCUUACCCUCUUCUUGAACCAAUCAAGAAAUGUUUGGUUCUAUUUAUCUUCAUCCACUUAGGAUUAUUUAUGUUGUAUGGGAAACUUAACUCUAAAAACUCCAUAUGCUCCCUGCAUUUGAGGAAAAUAAAGCAAAUCAGUUGUUUGAAUAUAAUAUUUGGACAAGAAAAUCAUAUUAAAGUAAAAUUACUUACUUGAAAUAUGGUUGCACAUCUUCACAGUUCUACAAUUUACAUAAAUGAGCGAUAUCUAGUAGUUUCCCAUUAGCCGUGACAAUUUUAGGGGCUGAUAAGCUCUUACAGCUUAUCAGCCAUUUAACAGUCCAGGUUUGCUACUUUUAGGGAUCCCAACAGUGGUAGCAUCUUCAAGAAGCAUAUGUUCCUCCAAAAAUUCAACUGCUUCUUCAACAAUGUAACACUCUGCGAUGCAACCCUCAGGAAAUGUUCGAUUGUGCACCAUUCCUUUAAACACUUUCAUGUACCUCUCAAAGGGAUACAUCCAUCUAAAAAACACCGGACCACACAACUACACUUCUCUAACAAGAUGGACUGUUAGGUGAAUCAUUAUAUCAAAGAAUGACGGUGGAAAAAACUUCUCAAGCAAGUAAAUGGUAUCGAUCAGAUCUGCUUGCAUUUUUUUAAGUAUGGAAACAUCGAUUACUUCACUGCAAAUCGCUUUGAAGAAUAGACAGAAGUGAAUAAUCGCAUACCAAACAGGUUUUUCCAAAACUGAACGUAUUGCAACAGGGAGAAGCAAUUGCAUUAUAACAUAGCAAUCAUGUGACUUAAGAUUGCCAAGUUUUAAAUCAUUUACAGACACCAAGUUCCGUAUAUUAGAUGAAAACCGGGAAGGACCCUUCAUAUGGAAAAAUGAAUUGCAUACGAUCUUUCUCUCAUCUACAAACAAGUUCCAACUAGCCAAAGGCAACUUGUCUCUUUUUACACCAGCUGUAGGCUUCAAAUUAGUGUGUAUCCCCAUAUCAACCAUAUCCAAUCUAGCAGCAACCCCAUCCUUAGUCUUCCCCGGAAUGUUCAACAACGUGCCAAGAAUAGCAUCACAACAGUUCUUCUCAAUGUGCAUGACAUCAAGAUUUUGUCUUACUGGAAGAAACUUCCAGUAAUCAAGUUCAUAGAAAACAGAAUUUUUCUUCUAGCACGACCUAUUUUCUGGAAGACCCUUAUAAGGGGCAGGAGCGUUUCCCUUACCACUUGCUUUAGGCAUCCCUUGAACUCUUGCAAAUGUCUCCUCUCCUGUUAAUGGUGUAGAAGCGUCAUCUUUUUCUACAGUGUUAUCGAAAGCAGAAGCUUGCUUUCGGUAAGGAUGAUGUCGUGGCAGUUGUCUUCGAUUCCUCAGAAAUACCAAUUUCUUCGAGUGUUUCAACCGAUAAGGUUUGGUCUGAUCAACACAGAUUGGACACGCAUUGUAUCCUUUCACAACGCACCCUGAUAAGUUCCCAUAGGCUGGAAAAUCAUUUAUAGUCCACAACAAUACACUUUCAGCUUAAAGUACUCUACUCUUACUGAAUCGUACACUUGUUCAAUCCCAUCCCACAAAACUUCAAAUCAUCCACUAAAGGCUGCAAAUAGACAUCAAUGUCAUUUUCGGGCUACUUAGGUCCCGAAAUUAACAAAGUUAGCAUCAUGUACUUCCUCUUCAUGCAUAACCACGGAGGAAGGUUAUAUGUGAUCAGUAUCACUGGCCAACAAGAGUAUUUACUGCUUACUGCACCAUAUGGGUUAAACCUAUCUAAGGACAAUGCUAGUCUAAGGUUCUUAGGUUCUAUACCAAAAUCUGGCCAAUUUGUGUCUACCAUUUUCCAAGUUGGAGAAUCUGCCGAAUGUCUCAUCAUUCCAUCUUUCUUUCUACCCCUGGCAUGCCAGGUAAGUUCCUUAGCAGAAACUGUCGAUUGGAACAUCCUUCUAAACCUUGGGAUGAGUGGAAAGUACCACAAUGUCUUCGUCAGCACCCCUACUUUCUCAGAUCCGUCCUUCGCUAGUUUCCACCUUGAUGCAUUACAAGAUGGACAUUUUUUAGCAUCAACAUUCAGGUCUCUAUACAAGAUGCAGUCAUUUGGACAAGCAUCAAUCUUCUCGUACUUCAUCCCUAAUGCGGAAAGAGUUUUCUUAGCCAAAUUGACAGACCCUGGUACUUCAUUCCCAUCAGGAAGCAGGGUAUGGAACAAUAUUAAAAUGUAUGUAUAGCAAGAAUCGGACAAUCCGUGUUUUGCUUUCAGAUUGAAUGUUUGUACCAAACCAUUCAUCUUGGUUGACUUGGUACAACCAGGAUAUAGAGGCUUAUCUCCAUCCUCUACGAACUGCAUAAACUCAUUCGAGUCUGGAGAAAUCUCGUGAUCUUCAUCACUGAGCACACCUACAUCUUCAUUUCCUCCUAAAUCAGGAAUCUGCUCUACUGUUUCAGAACCCUCACUCAAACAAUGUCUGGCAGCAUAAGAACAUUCUCCACGCCAUUUCCAACUAGCAUAGUUUUGCAUUAUACCAUUGAAAUAGACAUGAUCCUUAAUGAACUGUAUAUUACCAAAUCGGUUGUUACAGCACUUUAAGCAAGGACAAGGUAUAUUAUUGGGGUUCCUAGCAUUAUCCAAUGCAACCUUAAGAAACUGGUUAAAUCCUAAGUCGAAUUGUAGUGAUCUCCUAUCAACCUUCAUCCAUGUUUUAUCCAUAUUCUAUAAACCAGAAAAAAAUUAUUAGCUAUAUAUAUUAAAACUAUUUGUAGGUACAUACAUAAACAACUUCAUACUAAACAAUUUACUCAAACACAUUAAGACAUAUANNNNNNNNNNNNNNNNNNNNNNNNNNNNNNNNNNNNNNNNNNNNNNNNNNNNNNNNNNNNNNNNNNNNNNNNNNNNNNNNNNNNNNNNNNNNNNNNNNNNNNNNNNNNNNNNNNNNNNNNNNNNNNNNNNNNNNNNNNNNNNNNNNNNNNNNNNNNNNNNNNNNNNNNNNNNNNNNNNNNNNNNNNNNNNNNNNNNNNNNNNNNNNNNNNNNNNNNNNNNNNNNNNNNNNNNNNNNNNNNNNNNNNNNNNNNAAAGAAGUAUGAAUACAUCGAAACUAUGAGUGCACUUACGUACAUCCAUAUAUUCGAACAAAUAAACAACAAGCACAUCCAUAGGAAAAAAGAUGGGGAAUAGACCCCCAUUGUGGAAAUGAACAGAUACAAUAUCUCAAAUUUCAUUCAGGAAUGUCACUUUAACUUCUAAUCGAGAAGAGGACUUAAAAGACCCAAUAUCUUUUGUGUAACUGUUUUGCAUGUUCUUGAAAUUACAAGUCCACAAUCAAAAAAAAAAAAAAGAAGAGAAGAAUACUAACAGAAAGAUAGGUGAGGCUCAAAUGUCCCGCCAAGAUGUAUUCCUUGUUGUACCUACACACAUAACAAUGGAUUUGCUCAAGUGCAUCCUGGAAAUGAAAACCCAAAAAAAAAAGGAAAAGGAUGGAGAUUGGUCCAGUAAGUGCAAAAUUUGUAUUUUGUAGCAGCAAAUAAAAAAAAGACAUGCAAACAAUUUGAAGUCUUAACAAGUUAACAGUUGCUGUUAAAACAAAAUCUAUUCAAUGAAACAAAACAUCUUUUACAUCUAUGUUGUCAAGAAAAAGUGGCCACAUCAAGUCACAGCAGCACUCAAAUAAUGUUUGAGGGAAAGAUCAACGAGACCUUCACCAAAUCUUCCAAGGUAACCAAUAGACAGUAAGUGACAAAGCAAGAAACAGAGAAAAAAAAAUCAAAUCAGAGCCCUAUAAACAAGCUAUGGGUUCAUUCUUAUUCUGAUCAUUCGCCAAAAGACUUCAAAGAAUUGACUAGCCUUUCGAACUCCUCUUCUUGAGCUUUGUGUGAAAUUUUGAGGCUCUCAAAUUCUACAAGCUGGUCUUUAACGGUUUUCACAAACCAACCUCUUUUACAUGUUUAUAAUCACAUGAAAGAGUAACCAGCCAAAAGUCUUUACUUAUGAUAAUCAGCAUUCACCGUUAAAUCAACAUUUCCUGGCAUCCCUUGAACAAAUUGUUUAAAGCACACUAUAUUAGCAACUAAUCGAAAGUCAAUCUAGACUUACUGAACUACAUCAUUACCGCAAAUAAGAACACGGCAUCACUCUACAUACUUCACUGACUAUCACAUCAACAAAAUGCCAGACUCAUAUCAAACCAAAAUUGCAAAAAUCUAAGACACGGUGUAUACUGAUCUAGAGACUAUCAUAAAUUGCUGAAAUGCGAAAGCAACAUACAGAUUUGAAGCGCUCACCAAUUUGAUUUGAAGCGACGCCGAGAUUUUAGAAACAUUGCAGAACUGAGAAACACUGAGCGACAGACUCGCGGCUCCACACAACCAAGCAGGGAAAUCCAAUUUGGGCAAACCCUAAAUCAGGGAAAUCCAAGCAAAACUCUAUAUCAACCGAGCAAAACCCAACCCAGCGAAACCUGAAAUCCAAAAUUUCGCAUAAAGAAACUUACCAGGAAAUAGCAGAAUACCCUAGAAAGAAGUUUCGCAUCAAUCUAUGGCGGGGGAUGGAGGGUGUUGAGAUCGGUAUUCAUCUGUCAGAGAGAAAGAGUGAGGCUGGGUGUUCGGAUCGAAAGAGUGAGGCUGGGACACAGAGAGAGAUUAAGAGUGAGGCUGCUAGAGAGAAUUGAAUGAGAAAAAGAGUGAGGUAGCUGCUAGAUUGGUUAAAGUGUACUAUCGGGGUAGUUAAUGAGAAUAAGCUAGUGUCAAAAUACUAUCUACUUUUACGACAAAAAAAAAAAAAAGUCUCAAUCGAUAUCAUUAAAUUUCUCUCAAAUACGUCAGUUUUCUGUAGUCUUUAAAAACACGGUAUCAGAAACAAAUUCCCUAAAGACGACAAAUGAUUCUCGUCUCAUUGACACGCUAGUUUUAACUAUCUACGUGUUGCUACAUUCAGACAACAGAAUUUUAAAUGUUUGUCGUAAAAAUUAAUCAGACGACAGUAAAAACGACUUCUGUCGUCUGAUACCUGUCGGAUGAUUGCGAAAUCGGCGUGUAAUGCAUGAAUGUUUUUUCACGUGCUUUUGCUUCCAUGAGUACUUUAGGGCAUGAUUUUGGGCUCAUCUAAAGAUUAUAUAUACUCCAUAUACAUGGGAAUGUUGUUAUAUCUUGGCACACCAUAAUUACAUGUUCAACGAUCGACUCAUUUGCCAAUUAGAAGAAAAAUGAUGAAUAUAUAUGGAUUAGGAGUGACCGGGAUUCCUUGUUCCUAGAGAUUUUGGGUUGUACGUUUUUGGCCAUUCUCUCACCUCCUCUGGUAUUCACCUGUCAAUUCCUUCUACCAAUCUGAGCGAUUAGGAUUCACACAUUCCAUAUAUUGAUUUCAACUCAAGCUUCAGUCACCGAUUCAUAGCCACACGAAAUCCUAGCAUUUUCAAAGUCCAAAUAACCAAGUAAGCUAACUUGCAUCAGUGUAGAAAUUCAAAGCUCGUAGUUAUUAUAUAAACAAGCUUGGGAUUCAUCUUCGUCUACGAAACCAAAAGCAGAGUAGCAUUGAGAAUCUGGAUAAUAAGCUUAGGGUAAAGUGAAACAACCAUGGACCUUUACACGAGGCGUUGAGGAGCGGCGACACGUCGGCCUAGACGGAGUGAACGCCGGAGGGAAUGGAGGAGCGUUCCGGUACGGGAAGGUCCACGGUAGCAUCGUUGGCCAUCGGCCUCUUCUUUCUUCUUCUGGUUUUGGUGAGAGAGAGAGAGAGAGAGAGAGAGAGAGAGAGAGAGUAGUNNNNNNNNNNNNNNNNNNNNGAGAGAGAGAGAGUAAUGGGGUUUUCGUUUGCUUUGGCCACUUGCCAAACAACAAGCGAGUCAAGCAGUACGGAGGACGGUGAAAGGGUUUAGCUCGUGUAGGGCAUCCAGACGGGUAGGAUCUCGUGUUUUUGUGGGCUUUCUGUUCUUACGUAUUGAACCUUUCAUAGACAGUGUCCUAAUUGGAUUAGUAAUCCAAAUCCAUGAUACGUCUGACAUUCCUAGGGUUAGUGAUUUCUAAUCAUAGUAGGAUUAAAUUUGGUUCAAUAUAAAUAAAUCCAAGCCGAUACACAGAAGAGAAUUCCAUGACCAGAAGUAUUUAGCAGAGUAUAUAAUUCCCAUAAAUUGAUAAUCCCAAAACACAGCCAGUACCGCAUUUUGCCCUAACAUGGAUUUGUAGGCAGGCCAUAAAAGAAAGAGGACACACGAAGAGAGGAAAGGAAAAAAGAGACCAAGAACGGCGGCCGACCAAAAAAGAAAGAGGACGGACGAAGGGAAGAAUUCGAAAGAAAAAGAGAGACAAAGAACGGCCGCCAUUGACGAGACGUUUCACUUUCAGUCCAAAGAUGUUGCCUCUAGCGGUCAUCCUCGAAAAGAAAGAAGAAGAAGGCCUGACGUUGGGAACACGGAAAGUUCGAGGAAAAGGAAGGUCGACCUUAUCGAAGAUGAUAAUAUGUUUGAUAGGUCGACUGAAGCUAGCGUCGACGAAGAUCGUAAGACUCACAUCAUGCAGCGCCUCAUGUCCGGUCUAGAUGGCCUCAUGUUCGCCGUAGAUGGUGAAAGUACGCCUGAAGAUGAGAUAAGUUUGACUGAUGAGAUUGAGUACUUUAACAAGAUCCACGACAAGAAUGUUGAUCUGAAACAAAAAAUUGUUGUUGAGCUGAAACAAAAGUCUCAAAAGGAGAAGAAAAGCAAAUUGGUCUGAGCUUCCCAACGAGCUUCUAGAGUCGAUUUUGAAAAAGCUUAUACUUGUGAAUUUGACAUCGAUGGAUUCAGACAUAUCCGAGAGGUUAAAGUCGUUUGUCAAUCCUGGAGAAAGGUUGCAAAAUCAUGUAGCUCAUACGUUCCUUUGCCUCGGACUCCAUGUCUCUUGCUUCAUGGAAAAACACCAAUGUCCUUCCUCAUUGAUCCCAUUGGAAGGAAGGAGCACACAAUCAGGAACGUCCAUGACUACUGUCCUGAUGCCAUAUGUGUUGGUUCAUCAUAUGGGUGGAUUGUCAUGUUUUACCGAGAAGAUAAUUCGGAAGACUGGAAAGCACAUCUCUUCAACCCGAUUACAAGAGCUAGCAUUCCAAUCCCAAGCACUCAUACCCUUCCUGAACAUUGUCAUCCUCGCACACCUUCUAGAGCUAUUAUUUCAUUCAAUCCCUCUUUCAACAAGAACUUUGUUGUGGUAGUGAAAUUCGGAGUUGGACUAGCAUGCUAUAAACAUGGAGAUGAAGAAAAGUCCUGGAAGAUACUAAUUGUUAAAGGUGCGGAUUAUUAUGAUGAUAAGGGAUUCGUGUUUCAUGAUGAUCUUUUGGUGGCAUCGUUCGAGACGCUUACCAAUGUUUGGGACUUCAAGGAAUACCCUUCUUUACUUUGUAACCCUGUACAGUCUUUAUCUGAUGCAAAGCCUUUUACCUAUUUGAUGGAGUCGUCAAUUCGUCAUUGACGGGUGACAUUUUACGUCUGACUAAAGAGUGGGAAAACAAGACUUUAAAAUUUAGUGUGGUAAAGCUAAAUUUAUGAGAAGGCGGAAAAUGAGAGAAUCUUCAAAGUUUAGGCGACCAAAGUUUAUAUUUUUUUGACCAAAGUUUAUUCCAUUUUAAACAAUUGAGUGGAUGUCAACUAAUGUCAUUAAUGAACUCGAGUUUUUUAGGAUGUGAAAAAAACUCUAUUUACUUUGCAGCGAGAGAAUUAGAUAAAUACGCAACAUUAGAUAAAUAUGCAAGAUACGACCUUGAAAAAAGAAAAGUAAAAAACAUGGGUGAAGAAGGUACGAUAAUGUCAUUUAGUGAAUAUAUGCACAUUAAUUUAGAACCUCUGUGGAUUAUUCCUAAUCCAUGGUGAAGUACAUCGUUUUAAUUAUUCACUAUGUCAAUUGAAAUUAUUCCCAGUUCAAGUUUUGCAUUGCUGAACAUCAAUUGGAUCUGAAUUAUUGCAAUUUUGCUGCUGUAAAUUUACGCUCUUUAUAUACAUGUUUGGCAUCGGAUAGUGAGAAAUUGAGUUGUGGAUUUGUUGGUUAUUGUAUUUUUUUUUUUUCGAUUGAAGCUUAUUGUCUUGUUGUUGUUGUUGUUGUUGGUACAUGAUGUUUCUUCAAGAAGGAAUUCAUCAGCAAACUUAAUUGCAUGUGUGCUGAUCAUAUGUUGCAAGUUGCAACGUUUUCAAUAACACACCUCUUAGUAAACCAACAAUAGAUUCAGGAUUACUUGAAUGUAUGUUAGGGUAUUAGCCCUAACUAGAGAGAAAAGCAAAGAAAUGCAGAAAUGAAAGAAAUUAAAAUGUUAAUAUUUUCAUUGAUACUGAGCAAAAGCUCUCAAAGGAGUACAUAUAGACCUAUUUGGCUGGUCACGUGCGCGGCACAUGACUAAGUGAGUAAAAUAUCAUAACAAUCCAUCCCCCUUUAGCAAACUUGACCUCAAGUUUCAAUUACCAAAGAGACAUUGCAAUUUAACCAACUAUAGUCUAGACUAAACAGCACCCAAAAACAUAGAUCUUCAAAUACUGCACCACAAGUUAUCAGGAAAAAACUGAAGAAUGUUGCAGCAACGUUUCCAUGAUGUGUACUGAUUUGGAAAGAAUCAUAUGAGCAUAAGAGAAGUACCCUGCUGGAUAAUUGGAGCUCAAAUAACCAUCUGCAAGAGAGUAUGGCAUCCCAUGAAGUCUUGUUGCAGCAAUAGAUCAUCUGCUUGUCACCAAGAAUGAAAGUGAACAGAGUGUACUCGCAGGCUAGCCCAUCCUUGGAGAUAUCAGCUUCCGAACCCCCAGUGGUGGAGUCAAUGAUGAGGAUAGCAUUAUCAGCCUUGGAAGUACUAGUAAUCAUGUCCUUGAUGAAAUCAGGAUGUCUGGGAGCAACAAUGUCAGUGUAGUACUUGGUGGUCUCAAACUUCCACAGCGUGAUAUCAAUGGUGUUAUCACAUUUACGCUCAGCCAUGAGCUUGUCAAGCAACCUGAAUGAACACUUGUUCACCUCAUCCACAUAUCCAAGAAAACAAUAGUGUUUUCCUGACAAAAACCAUUCAUCACCCCAUAUCACGAUUAGAUCAUAAGGUAAACUCUCUGUCACCAGUAGACCAAUAAGAAUAAAGAGCUUUUGCUGGAACCCAAGAGCCUUUAUGAUAAAUUGGUUAGUCCACAGUAGCUCGAAACUGGUAAAUACAUUUUCCUUGUGCUCACACUUGAAAAGUUUUUCUAACAUCAACCAAACCAGUUGCAAUAGCACAAGCAUAGAACCAUUUCUAAUUGAUACACUCUGCAUGGAUGUUGCAAUAUGGCUAAAUCCAAUUCCUCUGUUGUAAAGCUCAUCCAAUAAACUAGAGGAUAAAGUCAUCACCAAUUUAGUUUGAUAAGUAGAUUCCACCAAAGAGAUUUGAAUCACACGAGGAGAAAGUAAGAGCUCACUUGAUGAUUUCAGAUGCUCUCUGAGAUACUUCAUUAUCUUUGACUUGUAUCGUGGGGACAUUUGAUCAUGAAACUCAACUAAGGCAUCAUUCACAUAUCCAAAUUUUGUUAAACUUAACCGGGCAUGAACAUGUUUCCCUGGAGAUGAAUAAGCAAGCUUUGCACAGCAACUCAGUAUAGUAGCAUAGGAAAUUUGCAUGGUAAUCACCUCAUGUUGAGAAUUGAGUGAAUGCCCUGCUAUCAUAUAGUUCCAGCAAACAACAACUUCUUGUAUGCUAUUAAUUAUAUGUUUUACCUCCAUGUUGAUCUCAUUCUGAAAAUAGAAACAGAAUAUGUGAUUCCAUGAAGUCACAUUUGAGAAUGAGAUGACAUAUGUGUUAUCACCCCACAAUUGAUGGCCACUAUAUAUAUCUCCAGACUUGACAUAUGCUGCCAGCAAAUUAACAUUCCAAGAGACAGCAAUAACUUCAUGUGGAGUAGCAAAAUUCUUCAUUGACCCCAACCCAUAUAACAUGAAUCCAGACUUAUGCAUUUCAUCACUUGAAAACCCUUGGCCAAAAUCAAUUCCACCAAACUGGGGCACUUCUGUUGCACUAAACCCAUUCUCAUAGUCCAAAACACAAAUAGUUGACAUCUCAGCCUUGACCCUUUUGAUGUGUGAAGACCCUGGAUCACCAUCCCAAGCAAAAAACCCAACAACCUCAACAGAAAAUGAGUUCUUAUUUGAGGAGUCAGCCAUUGAACUAAUAAUCUGACCCAUAUUCCCUAAACCCCUGGAUAUCAUCAAGUAAAAAACAGUCUCUUCUAUAUCUACUCCACAGUGGGCAUACAUAUCAACAAGAGAGCUAGCAGUAGAUCCAUUUAUCUCGAAUAUAUCAGCAUGAAGCAAACUUCCAGCAUUAUCAAUAAAAGCACUAAAGAUCACGACAUAGAGCUUAAUCAUGUCACACAAGAAACUCACAAAAUCUCUUCUAUCAUCUUGAAAAUUUAUAGUGGUGGUUUGAGUCAUUUCACCAAUUAUGUUGAACGCUUCCCUGCAAAAGAGUAGAAUCUCCUCUACCUCACAAUAGCAACACUGCAAGCCAAUAAUUGUUUCGGCAGUACCUCUUGAUUUCCACUUCUCCAAUAUUAACUCCAGUACCCUUUUAGAAUUCGCUAUGCUCUCAUAACUAUUACCCACAAUAUCAGGUGGUUUAUCCAUCACAAAAACAACUGCAGUCCUCAACCCAUAUUGGAUUAGCUUUAGCGCAUCAGAACUCACCCACAGAACAUUACAUAUAUCCUUGGUGAGCAAUGUAACAGAUGAACCACCAGCAAGUAAGUCAUCCCAUUCACCCUUCACACUUCCACAACGCCUGUUUAAUAACUCUUUCAAGGGCAUAAGACCUAAAAAGGACUUGCUGUUGUAGGCAUCCAGUUGAAAAUAAUUUUCCAGCUCAUGAAUAUCCGAAAAAACUACAGUGCCUCCACUAAAAUAACUUGACUGGAAAAUCUUCAAAUCCUGUUUAACAUCAUUUUCAUUUUGAUCUCUCCCUUUUGACACUCGAGACUGACUUAAUCCCACAUUUUCAUCAAUUUCUUUAUCAACCUCAGAAAGACGGAUUGCCUUAACCUGUAAGCAUCCAUCACUCAUGGUGCCACCAAUUAUCCUGCAACCAAAUCUUUCACAAAUGGCCCUUGCCUCGUGUGGUCAACCUCUCAUUCACAUGGGUUUGACCAGUAAUUACAAUCCCAUCAAUUGGAACCUCUGCCCUGGAAACAAUCUUAAGUAAAUCAUUGCUUUGAAUAAGUUGAGAGCUAAAACCUAUCUCCGAUAUAGCAUUGUCAUCCUCAAGUUGAUUAGCCUUCAUGUCAACACCUUCAUUAUCUUUGGCACAAUUCACCCCAAGUGCAUAUUCUAAAGGUUGGUGAGCAAGUCCCCCACCUUUAUCUCGAAUACUCGUAAGAGCUGGAACAGUCCUUCCUACAUUACCCAACUCAUUUGAAUGCAGCAUUUCAUCAAACAGGUGGAGUGCAUGACAUUCUCUCACCUUCUCACCCGAAUUUGGUCCCUGAUUAUCAUGCCUAACAUUAACACCAACAUGAAUUGACCCAACAAACACAGAAUCAACAGCACCACAACCAUUAUUCACGAAACUGAGAGUUCCAGUAUUGCUUACUGAACAAAAGGAUGCAUUAGUGUUGUUCACUUGAGUCGACACAGUGCUGCCUAGCAGAGAAGGCACAACUGAGCUCUGGGACCUCCAAUCAACCUUGACAUCUUGAGCUAUUUCAGCCACAAGGCGUUGAAAAGAGACCUUGCGCUUCGGGUGUGUGUCAGUCGCAAGGAACCCGUAGGUUCCCAGCCUAGAUCGGUGUCUCUUCUUCACUCCUCCGAUGACCGCAGUCGACUUGAGAGCGACUUGCUUGCUUCGAGCCUUCCAGAGAUGAGAGUGGACAAUCUCAAUUUGAGUUUUAGGAUCAGAAAUUGGAGUUGAUGACUGCUCCAAUGGUCGCUGCUGGUAACGGCCUGGUGGUGGUGUUGUCAAUCGAAAUUGCUCGAACACAUUAUGAAUCACACUUUGCAUCUUGGAUUGAAGCAACGGUAAAGUGUUUUCCAGUGCACGGCUCAUUGCAAGGAGAAACAAAUCCUCGUCGAGCACAAGAGGUUCGACGCCGAGCGGCGGAAUUGCCAGUUGCUCAGCUCCCAGAAACAUGGCUCUGAUACCUUGUUAGGGUAUUAACCCUAACUAGAGAGAAAAGCAGAGAAAUAUACGAAAGAAAUUAAAAUGUUGAUAUUUUCAUUGAUGCUGAGCAAAAGCUUUUAAAUGAGUACGUAUAGACCUAUUUGGCUGGUCACGUGCGCGGUACAUGAGUAAGUGAGUAAAAUAUCUUAACAAUGUAACGUAAAGGUUAGGGAUUUCAGAUCGAUGCUCUUCUUUUUAAUUUAUUCAGACUCCUUUUCUACAAGAAUGCAAACUAUAUAUAUGAACCCUUUUGGUAAAAAAAGAAAAUUAGAAAGACAGGAUCAUUUAUUGUGGAAUGUGGACUGUCCAAUUUUCCUCUAUAUAUGUUCUUGGCCCUUUAUCACUGCUGUGCCUCUACUUUGUUCAUAGUGCAACUACAGUGAGAAGAUAGAGAAUUGAGAGGCAGAAGAGUUCCGAGGAUGGCAAAAUCACCAGAAGAAGAACACCCCAGAAGGUUUUUGGUUGGGCUGCCAGGGACUCUUCUGGGUCACUCUCCCCCUUUCAUUUCUCUAGAAGGUAAAAUUUGGACUGUAAACUGUUUGACCCUUUUGUGUUUUCUUCAUUAUUAUAUUGCUUUGAGGUUUAGGAUGAUCCGAAACCAAUCUCUUUUUCUGUUCAUCUGGGAAUAUUUAAGCAAAUAUUAUAAGUUGAACUAUGCUUUGGCUUUAUAUGGUAGAGUAUUCUUUCUUCUUGUAGCUUUUAUAGUUUUCUAUGUGCUUUCACUCCAAAAGGGUUUAGCUCUUUAUAGUUUUCUGUAAAACCCCGUCUUAACGAUCAAUGGCUUGUUCUAUUAAGCUUCAUACUGUUAAUUCAAGAAAUUUAUAAAGGGUUUUGCUUAGUGUAGCAACUAGACAGAACCCAAGUAGAGAUUUUCGUUUAUCAAAAGUAAAAGUGUAAUUCUUGUUUAUCAUAGUUAAUUUACAUCAUGUUAUGCUAGUGGGUCUUAUUUGUUCUUCAUUAUGGUCAAAGCUUUCGAAAUUUUGGGGUACUGGCUUAAUGUAGGGGAUGACUCCCCUUGUGGCUGUGUGAUUUGAUUUUUGUCUACUUUAAUUUGUGCUGAAAAUUGAUGAAAUGGAUCAAAUAUAAGGAUCACUUAUUGGUACUACUGGAGCAGAUUGCAGCCAUGUACUUGAGCUUUUUUGUGUAUUAUUUGCAGGGAAAAUGCUGAUGGUGAUGUAACAAUAAAGUCCUGUAUUGUGGGGUUUGCGAUUCAGACUUGCAUUCUGUCAAAAAUGAAUGGGGGAUCACAAACUUUCCUAUCGUACCUGGGUAAUCAUAUUAAUCUCAUAUGAGUUUCUAAAUUUCUCUACUUUUAUAUCUAUCUUAUGGCUUUAAUUGUACAAUGUGACGAUUAUUUGGUCUGCUAACUUAUAAAUAGCGGUGCAAGUUUACCAUAUAAAACCUUACGCAAGCCUACUUCACAAUUUUCUGGUUGCAUCAUGAACCAUGUACUGGUGAUUGGAUGUUUGGUUAAUACACUGAGUUUCAAGAUUUAUCUUCCAUCUUUCUAUCUCGAGUUUAAAUCAGCUCUGUGAUUUUCAGAAUUCACUUGUAUAGAUAAAUGACUUCCAAUAUAGAAUUAUGAGGGUCCUAUUACAUACAACAUGCAAUGCUAGUAUAUACAAUAUUUAUGCGGCAAUUCAGCUUAUUUAUUGCAUUGUUCUUGUAAAAGUUUGUCCAACGUAUGCUAAGCAUUUUAAUGGAUGUUAUAGGCAUGAAAUUGUUGGUGUUGUGACCAAAACUGGGAAAAGCGUGACGAAAUUCAAAGAAGGUGGUCGUGUAGGAGUUGGGGUUAUAGUCGGAUCCUGCAAUACAUGUGAGCCCUGCCAGCAGGACCUAUUGCCCCAAAGUGAUAUUCACUUAUAACUCCACUUCUAUGUGCUGGGAUCACUGUGUAUAGUCCAAUGAAGUAUUAUGGCAUGACAGAGCCUGGAAAGCAAUUGGGCGUGGCAGGACUUGAUGGACUUGGUCAUAUUGCUGUCAAAAUUGGUAAGGCAUUUGGUUUGAAGGUAACCGUCAUCAGAACUUCCCCGGCUAAGGAGGAAGAAGCUAUUAACAUACUUGGGGCUGAUUCUUUUGUUGUUUCAACUGACCCUGCACAACUGAAGGUAAUGAACUAAUGAUAAAUCAAAGAAAAAUUCAAAAUGGUCAGGUUAUGAUUGCUUCUUGGCAAAUGUUUAAUGUAAGUGUUAUUUUCUAUUUCUACUGUUCAGGCAGCGAUGGGAACCAUGGAUUACAUAAUUGACACAGUACCUGCAGUACAUGCCCUUGCUCCAUUAAUUGGUCUACUUAACUUGAAUGGCAAGCUGAUCACUGUGGGUUUGCCUGAUAAGCCAGUGGAGUUGCCUAUUUUUCCAUUGGUUCUAGGUACGUGUAUAUACCAACUAACAAUUCCAUAUGUUCCGGGUUUUUUUUCCCUGUUCUUUUAAAAUCAGUCACUAUAAGUGAUAUGUAAAUGUGCGAGUACCAUGUUCUUUCUACUGAGAUUCUUAAUGCUCAAAAGGAUUAAAUUGUCAUGUUUUUAGGAUAAAAGAGACGCAGGAGAUGCUUGACUUUUGUGCCAAACACAACAUUACCUCCGAAAUAGAGCUAAUUAAAAUGGACUACAUUAACACAGCUAUGGAGCGGCUUGCCAAAGCAGAUGUCAGGUUUCGGUUUUUGAUAGAUGUUGGGAACUCCUUGUGUCAGUAGAGACUUGGAUUCAUGCCUCAACUGCUACCUUGUUUGGUUUGAGACUCAAUAGUGCAUUGAAUAAGUAGCAAGUUUUAAUUAUGGUAUGUGAUAUAGAAGUUUCUGGGGGAUGUGGACUGGUAGCAUAAGAUAUAUUGUUGUCCUGGAAACUUAUGGUUUGUACCUAUCUAGUUGUAUCCAUCCCCCACUUUUCCGGUUGACUUUAUGAUGAAUAAUAAUAUCUGAUUAAGUUUCAU